RNAcentral lists this long non-coding RNA (69575 nucleotides) under Eucalyptus grandis. Its description in RNAcentral is "long non-coding RNA (EGRA_LNC003955)". Lineage: Eukaryota; Viridiplantae; Streptophyta; Magnoliopsida; Myrtales; Myrtaceae. The record is from RNAcentral.
UGGUCAACAGCAUCCACCGAAUUGAAGCCCACGAAGACCGAAGCCAGCGAAGCCGCGUCUUCUCUCUUCAGCUCGCGUUUUCCUUCAGCUCCCAUAUUCGUCCGCGUGGUCUCCUCUUGCUCGUGGGUUUCGGCCAACUCGAAGACGCCAGCGGCCAGCUUCUUCAGCGCGUGGACGUUGUUGCUUCCUCUCCACGAUUGAUCGGCCCGACAAUUGAAGUCGACCCAAGCCCAGCUCAGUCCAUGCAUCUUCAUUUCCAAGCCCACGCAAAUCAGCAACCUGCAGCAGCCCAAUCUCCAGUAGAUUUUGAAGCCCAAGCUUAGGCCCAAGUUUAGUUAGUUCUAGCUCAUUUGAAGUUCAGCCAUUUUGGGCUCGAGAAGAAGGCCCAAGCCCGCAACCAGCAGCUUGCAGAAGCCCAAGACCUAAACUCAGCCUUGCUGAGAUUUGUUGGGCCCGUUUUAGGCCCAGUCCAAGUUCGCCGACGCCGCUGAAAAUUCAGAUUUCGGCCGCCGUCGCGCCGUCAUCGCGGUGAACCAAUUUCCGCAAUUAACUGGUGAGUUUAUACUCUAAACUCUGCUUAGUAGGCUAAUGACGUUUAAGGCGUGUUUAGAUUUAUUUUAUUAGGAAUUAGGUGGUUAGUUAAAUCAAAUUAGAAAUGUAAUUAUUUAAUUGAGCAUGUUAGGUGGUUAGCAUGGUUUAGUUAAGGCCUAAAUAAAUUGUACUAUUUAUCUAGAAGGGUUCGGGAAUUUAUCCGAGUCCGUAUUAGUUAUUAAUUUAAUGAUUUUGGCCUAGGUUAGUAUUUUUAGAAUUUAAAUUGAUUUAUUUAAUUAAUUUCAGUAAUUAUUUAAUUAUUAAUUUUUUCUAGAAAUUAGCCCGGGAUAGCCGGUGACCGGAAUUUCGUGCUGAUUACAAUGGUGUGCUUAAAUUCUACAAUUGAGUGUUAAAUUAUGCAAAUUAAUGCUAAUUGGAUUUUUGGUAUUAAAUUCCAAAAAAAAAAGUGAAUUUCCAAUAUUUAUUAAGAAAAUUCCAGGUGUCGGGUUUUGACACCGAAAAUGGUUUUUAGUACUAUAUGAAAAUAGUGGGAUUUCAAAAAGAAGAAUAUCAAUUUUUUCUGGGUCAAGUUGACCGUGUACCCACACACGAGUAAUUUUAUGUGAAUUUCUAAUAUGAAGAAAAAGGCCAGGCUCACCAUUUUAAUUGAAGCGUUUGAGUGCAAUGCACGGUGCCCUGGGCCAUAUUUGAGUGAUCAUGUGAUGGUUAAGAGAAAUCGUCCCGGGCUGUUGAGUUGGAUGUUAUCCUUAUUUGGGAUACCCCCUGGAUAACGGGAAGCCGGUCGCAGUUGAUUCUGGACCCUAUUCUCCUUCGGGAAAGCCGUUUGAUAGAUAAACGUGCCGUGCUCAAUGGGGUGAGAUGAUACCUGGCAAUGCCAGAAGACCGCCGAACAGAGAGUAGGCCGUGCUAUAUGCCGAGAUCAAAACUAGGAACGCAUGAUUAAUUGAGUGUAGCGUUUUAGUUAUUGGAGCCUAUUUGUUGCUCAUGUUCUCAUGUUGUUUGGGACAUAAAUUGUACUGACUUGCUGGGUGGAUCUGAGACGAGGUAAGUCUCCUUGAUUGUGUGAUUGUGUGAUUAGGACACUUCUAGGCGUAUUUCCCUCUUAAUUGGGGUUUAGAGCUUAGACUCGCCGAGAUGAUAUCUCACUCCGUUGUGGGACAACAUUUUCAGGGUCGGCGAGUGGAGGACCUGGAGCUGAGAGGAGGUGAUUGGAAGUGUAGGUCAGUUAGGAUCGCUUCUUUUUGGAAGGCCAGUUUUUUGUAGUCUUUUGGCCAUAGACUUGUGUACAUGACUCAGUGUAUAUAUAAAAGCAUAUUUGUUUGUGAAUCUAUUGUCCUUUUUUUUUUUUAUCCCGUGAUGAUUACUGUCAGGGGAUUUCUUUUCGCUUCCGCAUGUGCAGUAAAAUGGAAAGGGUCGGCGACUCGUCCUAAGAAGUCGCAAAUUAUUAUCGACUAGAUAGGGAUGGGCACGCAUUCGGGGUUCGGGGUGUGAUAAAGGCAGCGAGGUAUAAGGCGAGACUUAUGGCGAAGGGAUAUACAUAGCAUGAGGGAAUUGACUACAAUGAGGUGUUUUCUCCUGUGGUAAAACAUACUUCUAUUCGUGUUUUACGUGCCUUAGUUACUUCGCAAGAUCUCGAAUUAGAGCAGCUAGAUGUGAAAACUGUGUUUCUUCACAGUGAGUUGGAGGAGCAAAUCUACAUGAGGUAACCAGAGGGAUUUGCUAUUCUGGGUAAGGAAAAUCAUAUUUGCUUGUUAAAGAAAUCUUUGUAUGGUCUGAAAUAGUUUCCUAGAUAGUGGUAUAAACAUUUUGAUGCUUUCAUGACUAGUCAAAACUAUUCAAAAAGUCAGAUGGACAGCUGCGUUUACUUUAGGAGAUUGGAGAAUGGUUCUUUGAUUUAUCUACUCUUAUAUGUUGAUGAUAUGCUAAUAGCAGCUAAGGAUAUGUUUGAUAUUGAUGUGCUGAAGAGGCAGUUAAAUGUUGAAUUUGAGAUGAAAGAUUUAGGUGUUGCAAAGAAAAUUUUGGAUAUGCAGAUUUUGCGUGACAGGGCUGCAGGAGUUUUACGUCUAUCUUAAAAGAAAUAUAUUGAGAAGAUCAUAGCACGUUUUAAUAUGUAGUCAGCAAAAUCUGUAAGUACACCUUUAGCAAAACACUUUAAACUUUCAGAUAAAUUAUCACCGCAGACUGAGGAGAAGGAGGAAGAGCAUAUGUCCCGUGUUCCUUAUUCUAGUGCCGUGGGUAGUAUUAUGUAUGUUAUGGUAUGCACUAUGCCUGAUAUUUCACAAGCUGUGAGCGUGGUUAGUCGCAAUAUGAAGCGUUUUGGUAAAGCUCAUUGGGAAGCUGUGAAGUGAAUCCUCAGAUAAUUGAAAGGGACAACAGACAUGGGUAUAGUAUAUCGAAAUGACAGCAAUGGCAGUGAGACCACUAGUUUUAUGGAUUCGGAUCCCACCGGUAAUUUGGACGAUUGCAGGUCUUUAGCAGGUUAUGUGUUUACAAUAGCGGGUGGUGAGGCAGAGUACAUGACACUAACCUUUGUAGCGAAAGAGGCGAUAUGGUUACAAAGUUUGCUCUCGGACUUUGGAUUAGAACAGAAAAGUAUGGAUAUACACUGUGACAACCAAGGUGCGAUAUAUUUGGCGUAUAAUCCAGUUUAUCACGAGCGAACGAAGCAUAUCAACGUUAGAUACUACUUCAUUCGAGAUGUCUUAGUUAGGGAUAAUGUUAUUGUAAAAAGGAUUGCUACAGCAGAUAACCCAACAGACAUGAUGACUAAAUCUGUUCCUUUGACGAAGCUCAAGCUCUGCUUGAGUUCUAUUGGUGUUUAUGGAGAGUAAGUGCCCAUCGGAGUGUUGGGAGAGUAGCAUGGAUAAUGAGCAUUAUAACUUGGUUUCAAACAUCGAGCCAAGGUGGAGAAUUGUUAAAUUAAUGUUUCAAGUUUGAAUUCGGAUGACGAUUUAUUAUACCAAAUUUUAUCAAUAAAGAUUUCCCAAGCCAAGAAGAAAUUUCGUCGGUCUUUGAAGGAUUACAAAAUAAAAGGAAGAUACGAAAGCUACUUUACCCGCGGAAGUUGGCCGAAAUUUGUUACGCAGGUGGGGCCCAAAAGUCAACGCACGCACACACACAUCCGAAGAAAGAAGCCUCUGCAGCACCAUUCUGCCGCAUGAAUUACAAAACGUAGGUGGGCCCAGGUCAAAGUUUGACCUGGGCACACACGUAUAAAAGGAGAAAUAAUUGUUGCAGGUCUUUCUUCCGCCCGAAAAGAAGCGCGCGGCUGUAACCCUACGAAGCAGCGUAAGCCCGACAUAGAAGAAGCCGCAAGGAGUCGCACGUCCGCCGAAGAGAAGCUGGAGAUUUUUCUUUUUGGCGUGCGACUUGAAUGCGUGGUAUUUUGUGCCGUGAGUGUAUCCCUAAGUGAGUUGUUUAUUUAUAAAUAUUUUGGAUUUAGGGUUAAAUCUAGCUGUGGAAAACACUUAAGCGAUUGUAAACUCUAAUUCUCCGAUUAUAGUGAACUAUUUACUGCUGGCUCUCCCCGUGGACGUAGGUACCGAUACUCAGACCGAACCACGUAAAUUUCUGAUAUCCUUAUUUUUCUCGUUUAUUUUUCUAAUGAUUUCACGUUGACGUAAAUUGCAAGAUCCUGUCGUUUCCGUAUAUUAUAUCCCAACAAAGUUCAUGAUUACCUGAAAACUCUCCAACGGGACCUACAUAUAACUAGAGGUGAGUAUGAUGAGGAAACUCAAUAUCCGGAGACUAAGACAUUAACUAUUGGCCAAUUCAAGCUUGGACUUUGCCAUGGUCAUCAGGUUGGAUGCUUCUACUAUUUCACUCUAUCUGUACUUCUUUUUUUAAACCCCAACUAUUUUUAUUUGAUUUUUUUAUUCUGCAAUCCGAAAGUGUUAGUUCCUGGGGGCUGGAGCUUUUCAUUAAUCGAUAUUCAACCACUAACGAUGCAACUGAUUGCGAAACUGAUGGGUGGCAUGAAACCAGAGGAGAUGGUUCAAUCAGUAAAGUUUAGAAUGCUUAAGGGAUUACGUUGCUAGGUUAAUCAUCAGGAAGUUGUUGAUGGUUCACUGCCUUUCUAUACUGAUCGUCCCUGGGAAACUUAAGCUUAAGUUGGCAAGCGUGGAAGCUAUCUAAACUUGUUUUGACAGUAAGGACAUUAAUCUGGUGAAUUUAUUGCUAACUAAGAGUGAGAUGGACAAAUAGUUUUAGGAGUCAUAGCGCAUAUUAGGAAGUCCAUCUCACUUCCUUGCUCCUUGGAAGACAUUCUGCGCCCCAUCAUGGAGCAUCAUUGCUGCUUGCUAGUGAUUACAGUCAAUUCCGCUUCCUGUUCUAGUGUCAUAGUACUAUAUUAGUUAGAUAUGGGCAAAUAGUUUUACAAGUCAGUGCAUGGGAGGAAGUUUAUCUUUCUUCCUUGCUCCUUGGAAGACAUUAUGCGGAACUUAUCUCUGCCCCAUCAUGGAGCUUCAUUGCUGCUUGCUAGUGAUUAAAGUCAAUUCCGCUUCCUGUAACUGUGUCAUAGUACUAUAGUAGUUUGAAAGGCACUUGGAAAUUGGAGCCCAAUAAAAGAGAAGUGUCUUAUUUAGUUGACACCAAAGUUUCUUGUAUUGAUCUUAAUUAUCUCACUCCCUCUCCUUUGGUGCUUUGUAGGUUAUUCCUUGGGGAGAUCUGGACUUUCUAGCGAUGCUCCAGAAGCAGCUGGACGUUGAUAUCCUUGGAACGGGUCACACCCGCCAGUUCACUGCGUACAAGCAUGAGAAAGGGGUCGUGAUAAACCCAGGUUCUGCUACUGGUGCAUACAGCAGCAUCACUUACGAUGUGAAUCCUAGCUUUAUGCUCAUCUAUAUUGAUGGCCUGCACGUGGUGGUUUAUGUUUAUGAACUCAUUGCUGGGCAAGUUAAGGUCGAUAAGAUUGACUUGAAGAAGACCACUACGACGACUGCUCAUUGACUGCCAUUUUACGUACUUAUAGCUUUGACUGUAACACCUGAAAUUCUGUCAUGCUUAUUUUGUUGAAGCAAUCCUAGCUUAUAUGCCUUUGUCAUUGUCAAAUGACUGAUGGACUCGCUUGUUUUACCGUGAGUACUUAUAUAGUAUGAACAUAAUGCUGGACAUGUCAUUAAGGGCACCAAGCACAUUAUAAAGGACAACUGCGCAUACUUUUAAAGAGGGGAUUGUUCAAGCUCCCUCGUUGCAUAUACUCAAAUAUUAGCAGUCUUUGGUCGGCUUCCACGCAAAGUGAGUGCACAUAUGCUGUUGCAGGGCAGCGCACAGCAAAGUGCGAUGUCUAUGGUUUUGGUGUGGUUCUUUUGGAAAUUAUGACCAGACAGACAGUCAUACACCAAGGUUGGCCUUCCCGUGAAAUUAACCUUGUUAAAUAUGUUCAGCCUCAUCUAGGAAGGAAAAAAGAAUUGUACAAAUUGAUGGAUCCAAGGCUUGAAGAGUUCUCGGAAAAAGGUGUCCAAAUUGCUUUCAAGUUGGCUGCUCGCUGCCUUAGCGAAGAUCCAAAAGCUCGUCCCCGGAUGAGUGAAGUUGUAGAAGUUUUGAAGACUAUCCAAGAUCUUCCAUACAAGGCAGGAACAUCAAAUAUUCAGAACAAGACUCGGGAAGCGCUGGCCGUGAAAUGACGUCCAAACUCAAACCAUGGUGAAUUCAAGGAAUGCAAGUCUUUCAAUUCCAGGCGGACCAACACAUAUGCAUGCCACCACACCACCAAUCUCUGGAAGCCAGUGGUAAACUGGGAUAAUGUGUCUAUAAAUAGCCGUUGUUCAACCCCAUUUGUUUCCUUUUCUCCUCUUCUCCCUUUUGAUGUCGGAGUCUCGACUUCCAUCUGAACAUUCGCUCCUAAUUACUGAAUUGUCGAUGGAGUAAAAUAUAAUCUGAGUUAUGUUGCGUUUAUAAAGGCACCCUUUGAAGAGUGGUCAGGUGAAUCCUAAAAAUGGGACGUAUGCUUGCGCGUUGAUGCCUUAUCAACAGCAUUUUAAUGAUAAUGAUUACCUUUGAUGGUGCUUAUUUGAUGUACCUUUUCCUGUAAAAUUUAUUCUAUAUCAAAUUUUUCAUGUUGUGGCAUGUCUUUGACACAUGUUCUUGUUCUCAAUAAUUAUCUCGUUUGUUAUGAAAUACAUGAAUGAAUAUUCAUUAUAUUCAUCUUAUCUAAUGUACUUAUUAUGGUACAUUUGUAUAAUAUAUUCUAAGUACAUCUCCCUAUACAAUGAACGUUCAUCUCCUUUAUCCAGUACAUGUAUUAUUUGAUACAUUGAUAUUAAUGAUAAGUAUAUUCUUGUUCUCCUAUAAAUAGGAGUUUAGUUUUGAUGUAUAAUAACAACUAUUAGAACAACAAUCACAAUACAGUGAAAUAUCCGGCUUUCUCUACUAUCUCUAGUGUUCACUUGCUUUCUCUUCUUAAUCUCUUCUCUAUUAUAUAUUCGCAACGCAAUAUUUUACAACACGUUAUCAGCACGAAGAUCUACCAACUGAGUAAGUAAUUUUUGCAAGCACGAGGAACUACCGAUUAAGUAAGUAAUUUUUGCAAGGUGGGUGUUCUUUUUAUUAAUCAACUUAUACUUCAUCUUCUUCUAUCAAUUCUUCAUUUUUAUUUUUCUUGGCCCGAAGCCAAAUUUCAAAUCUAAAAGUAUCCUUCUGCUCCUGAAGUGGCAACGGAUAUUUGGAAAUCCUUUUAAUUAAUCUAAGGAUUUGAUUUUGCAAGGAUUAUAUGCAACUUUUAUGAUACUUGAUGUUAGGGAAAUCCCUUAUGAUGUUUUGAAGAUGACAAAAUAAAUCAAAGGCUACUAAUGUAUUUGAUGGUUGAGUAAUAGGCCAUGCAGAUAAUAGAACAUAUAAAGGAUAUUGUCAAAGUCUGAAGACGACCAGAAGAUUGAACGUAACAUAUGUCCAAAGUAUAUUUUGAAGAUUUCCAGACUUCUGUGUCAAAGUCUGAAGACUGCCAGACUUUAGUGUCAAAGUCUGUUCUACAUCAGAAGCCUGUCAACUCUGACAAAUUCCAAACUGAACGUGAAUGAUGAACCAGAAGACAGACUCUAUGCUGAAGCUGAACUGGGUACAGACCUUAAAGCUAAAUCUGUUCAGAAGUAGAAUAUGUUCAAACUCAGAUUGUAAAGUCUAUGGCUCUUAGACUUUACAUCCAGAUUCGAAAGAACGUAAUACAAGCCCAAUCAUAUAACGGCUAGUGAUCUAGUUUGGAUUCCACAUCAAGAUUGAUUUGAUUGAUUCAAUCUAAUUGAUUGACGAUUAGAUCUUGAAGACAAGAACUUUCUAUACGAAGAAGCUUUACUUAUGGAAACCAAGAUUCUGUUUGUAUGGACGAUCGGAAUCAAUUUGGGAUUCUACAUUUGUCACUCAACGGCUACCAAAUCUUCUAGAUACAGAGCUGUCCAAUAGGUAAAUUGGAAGACGAUCCUCAAGAUACUAUCCAACGGGUAGUUUGGAAGUGGAGGAGUAUUUAAGGAGAUGAAGGACUGAUGAGCAAGUAAGAGAUAGAGUGUAGAAUUUAUAAUUCCAAAGUCUGAGCGACCUUCGAUCAUAUACUUAUCUCUUGAAAGCUUAAACGUUUGUGAUCGUGAGAGAAAUACCAAAAGAGUGACUUAGUGAGAUAGUGUGAUCUACUAAGUGUUUGCACUCGAAGUUGUAAUCUCUUGUUGAUUGCAUAGUGGAAUCCAGCCAAGAAGGCUGUUAGCGUGGGAGAAUGGACAUAGGCUUGGAUUAAGCCGAACCACUAUAAACCUUGUGUUCUUAUUCUCUUCCCUAACUCCUUUGUUUGAAGUUUAUUUUAUUCCACAUAUAUUUACCAAGAUUUAUUUUAAACACCUAUUCACCCCCCUCUAGGUGUUCAUACUAGCACUCUCAAUUGGUAUCAGAGCCAAGUGCUCGGUUUAUAAAAGUGUUUUUACUUUUGAGCUAAAGAUCUUUUAUGGCUAGUAUCUCGGCACCAAGACUUAUGGAAGGACAAAACAACACAAGGCCACCAUAUUUUGAUGAAAAGGAAUACAACGCGUGGAAGAACAAAAUGAAAGCAUUCCUAAGAUCCAAAGAUCCCUUGCAAUGGGAUGUUGUGGAAAAAGGAAUCAAUCCUACUGCUGCGUCUACAUCAAAUAAGAAUGGCAAAGACAAAGAAAGCAAACCCCCCGCUCCUAUGUCUCGGAUGGAGAUGUCCAAAAGAGAAGCGCUUGAUGCAAAAGCCAUUUAUUCUUUAUAUUGCGCAUUGUCUCCUGCUGAAUAUAAUAGAAUCUCUUCAUGUGAAACAGCAAAAGAAGUUUGGGAUAGACUUCAUGUUACAUAUGAAGGGACUGAUCGUGUAAAAGAGACAAAAGUAAACUUCCUGCUCGGCAAAUAUGAAUCCUUCAAGAUGAAGCAAGGAGAGUCAAUUGGAGAUAUGUUUAGCCGUUUUACAGAAAUUGUAAAUGGUUUAGCAUAUCAAGGUCAGCCUAUUUCUUCUCCAAUGAAGGUCAACAAACUCUUGCGAUGUCUCUCAAAAGAUUGGAACCAUGUCAAGACCUCAAUCCGGGAGACUCAGAGGAUUAUGCCACUCUCCGUUGAUGAAUUGAUUGGCACUCUUCAAUCCUAUGAAGUGGAACAACUCAACGAUGAAGAUCCCGAAAGUAAGAAGUCCAUUGCUUUAAUAUCUAAUGCUAUUUUUGAUGAAACAGACUCAGAAAAUGACAUGGACAACGAAGAAUUUGCUUUUAUGAUCGAGAAAUUCAAAAACCUGAGUAGAAAAGAAAUGAAGUUUAGUGAAAGAAGACAAUACAAGCAGAAUGGCCAGAAAAGAAUAAUGAAAGAAGGUGAUGAGCAAGGAAAUAUAUGCUUGAUGGCACAUUCAGAAUCUGAGUCUGACUCAGACACAAACUCAGAAUCAGAGUCUGACUCAGACACAGACUCAAAAUCCGAUGAGGAAAUCAAGGUAAGCCAUUCAAAAAUUCAUCUCAAAGUUUCAAAGUAUAUAAAUGAGCUUUGCUUAAAUCUCAAAUUUUCUCUUAAAAGAAUCUUCAAACUUAGAAAGGAGAAUUCUCGACUUAGGCAACAUGAUCUUUCUCAAAAAGAAAAUUUUGAAAUUUUGCAAAAAGAUUUUCUACAAACAAAAGAAAGUCGAGAUUUACUUGUCAAAGAAAAUGAUUCUUUGAAGAAAGAAUUUUCAAAUAUUUCGACAAGAUUUUUAAAUGGAUCAAAAACAUUAGAGCAUAUCCUUUCUAUACAAGUUCCUUACUAUAAUAAGUCGGGACUUGGUUUUGAUAAGGAAAGUGAUUCUCUAAUUGAUUUUCCUAAAGUCAAGGAGAGACUUAAACAAAGACCUCUUAAGGCAUUUUACAAAAAUCAUUUUCAAAAAGUGUUUGUAAAACCUGUUGGUGAAAAUGACGUCAAGUGUUCAAAUUGUGGAGAUUCGGAAUACUUUGAGAAAGAAUGUCCUAAAGUCUAGAAACCUAUUAAGAGAGAUUGGAUAAAAGCAGCAUAUUCUACUAACUCUCAUGGACCCAAGAAAAAAUGGGUACCAAAGAAAAGAUGAGUUAUUUUUGCAGGAUAUAAAGAAGAAAGAAGAAAGAGGAUUUGGCAAGGAAUUUUUUAUUCUCAAUUUGAUUUUGGUAAUAAUUCUCAUAUUCGAUAUAUCCUUGGUUGAUUGAGAUUUUAUAAUGAUCAUAUUUUGCUUUAUGGAAUAAAGAAUCGUACGAUUUGUUUUUGUGAUUUGUGAGUUGAGAUUUGAUUUAGUACGUGUGAUUAUUUGAGAUAAUUUAGAUUAUUUUGUCUAAUUUUAUACUUCAGAUUUAAUCAUAUUUUGCAAAGUGAAAAUCUGUUUUACGUGAUGAUGCAAGAUAUUCUUAGAUAUUCAAAGAUUUUAUUCUCUCUGUUUUUAUCGUACUAUGACUAGGUGAGAAUUUAUUUUUCAAAAUAUCAUUGUGUAUAAUAUUCUUUCUUUGAAUACUUUGUUACGAUGAAUUAAGAAAGAAUAUUUGAUUAUGGAGAUUUUCUAUUUUACUCUAACGUCAAGGAAUGAUCCAAAUUGAUGGAUACCAAAAAGGGAAAUGAGUUGAUUGCAAGAAAUUCUUUAAGGGAAAGAUGAUUGCGAAUCUACGCAAAUUUUGGUGCAAUCAGAAAAUAUCUUCUGCGACAAUUGGUAAUAAUUUUUUUUAAUCAAUGGUAUAUUUGAAACAUAUACCUGGGUAAGAGAAAUUUUUUUAUCCUGCCUUGCAAAUUUCUACGUGCAUUUAUCAUGAUGAUUGUUUAUUAUAUUGUGAAUAUCUUUUGUUAUAAAUAUAAGGUAUUGCAAUUUUGGCACGUAACAUAAAUAUUUAUUUUCCUUUUGCAAAAUGCAUAUAUGAAAUUUAUGCUCAAGGAAAUCGCUUUGAUCUCAAAAGAUAUUACUGCAUAUUCAUGGAUAUUCUUGCUAUAUUCUUAGAAGAUAUAUUCUAUCUAGCAAGUUUGAUAUGCAAAUCAAAAGAAUAUAUUACGUGACAUUUUUGCAAAGAUGGUUAUCCAUUAUAUAAGAAUUUGCAGGUCACAAAAGAAUCUUCCAUAUGAAUUUUGGAAAACUCAAUCAGAAAAUCAUGGAGAUUCUAUACUAUCUUUUGGAAGUUCAAAAAUUCUAUUCCUUGUGCAAAAUUUUUGCAAAUUAUUGAGGAAAUCCCUUAUGUGUCGUACAAAAGGUUGGGUAGUUCAGAAUUUUAAUAUUUGAUAAUUUUAUAUAUGCUAUUCAAUUUAUCUAUUUGAAGAAAAUUGUAUUAUAUAUUAUGUGGAUAUUAUUAUAGCUUAUUUGUGCAAAAAGUUUGUUAAGUUGAUGCAGGUUGAAUUCGAGAUGAGCUUGAUUGAAGAAAAUAAUUUUUUGCCUCAAAUUUCAAAAUGCAAGUGAUCGUUGUGGAUGUUGUUUCUACAAAGGAAAUACUGAAAAAUAUAUUAUGUUCAACGUGCACAAGCAACAAUUAUUUCUAUUCGCAAAUAUUGUCAUGAUCACAGGGGGAGAAAGCAAAUCCAAGAAAAAGGAAAGAAUCGUGAUCAUCUCAAAAAGGCAACAAAUUAAGGGGGAGCUUUGAUCAAUUAUGAAAAAAUCUUUUUGGAUUAAUCGUGAUCUUAUUAUGGAUGGAAGGAAAGGUAAAUGUGUCAGAAUUUAUUCUAAAAAAUCCGGUUAGUGCCUAUUUCAUUACCUUUUGUCAUUAACAAAUCUUUUAUUGAUUUUAUUAUGACAAAAAGGGUACGUGCAAGUUAUGAUGCAUCCGUGAUUUUUAUUGGAUAUUUGUUGAUAUAUAUAUAUGAUCGAAGUGAGCUAUAUUGCAUAUCUUUAAUAUUCGACUUGCUUUAUAAAAGCUGAUCUUUUUGGAAAUUAUAUGUCAUGCAAGAUAUAUUUAUCAUUUUAUAUUCUCUACGUGAUACUAUUUUUAUUGUUAUCGCUUUUUGAUUAUGACAAAAAGGGGGAGAAGAUAUGAAUAUGCGUAUAUGUUGAUUGGUUAAUAUUAUUUAUUGCAUAAUAUUGAGCUGCGAUUAUUUUUCUAUAUAUUGUUAUGCUCAAUCUAUUUGCUAUCUUAUGAUAUCCUUUUAUUUAAAUUAAUAUUUUUAAAAGCAUGUUUACAAAUCUGCAUAUUCAGAGAUUAUUUUGUCAUCAUCAAAAAGGGGGAGAUUGUUAGGGAAAUCCCUUAUGAUGUUUUGAAGAUGACAAAAUAAAUCAAAUGCUACUAAUGUAUUUGAUGGUUGAGUAAUAGGCCAUGCAGAUAAUAGAACAUGUAAAGGAUAUUGUCAAAUUCUGAAGACGGCCAGAAGAUUGAACGUAACAUAUGUCCAAAAUAUAUUCUGAAGAUUUCCAGACUUCUGUGUCAAAGUCUGAAGACUGCCAGAUUUUAGUGUCAAAAUCUGUUCUACAUCAGAAGUCUGUCAACUCUGACAAAUUCCAGACUGAACGUGAAUGAUGAACCAGAAGACAGACUCUAUGCUGAAGCUGAACUGGGUACAGACCUUAAAGCUAAAUCUGUUUAGAAGCAGAAUAUGUUCAGACUCAGAUUGUAAAGUCUAUGGCUCUCAGACUUUACAUCGAGAUUCGACAGAACGUAAUACAAGCCCAAUCAUAUAACGGCUAGUGAUCUAGUUUGGAUUCCACAUCAAGAUUGAUUUGAUUGAUUCAAUCUAAUUGAUUGACGAUUGGAUCUUGAAGACAAGAACUUUCUAUACGAAGAAGCUUUACUUAUGAAAACCAAGAUUCCGUUUGUAUGGGCGAUCGGAAUCAAUUUGGGAUUCUACAUUUGUCACUCAACGGCUACCAAAUCUUCUAGAUACAGAGCUGUCCAAUGGGUAUAUUGGAAAACGAUCCUCAAUAUACUAUCCAACGGGUAGUUUGGAAGUGGAGGAGUAUUUAAGGAGAUGAAGGAUCGAUGAGCAAGUAAGAGAUAUAGCGUAGAAUUUAUAAUUCCAAAGUCUGAGCGACCUUCGAUCAUAUACUUGUCUCUUGAAAGCUUAAACGUUUGUGAUCGUGAGAGAAAUACCAAAAGAGUGACUUAGUGAGAUAAUGUGAUCUACUAAGUGUUUGCACUCGAAGUUGUAAUCUCUUGUUGAUUGCAUAGUGGAAUCCAGCCAAGAAGGCUGUUAGCGUGGGAGAGUGGACGUAGGCUUGGAUUAAGCCUACUAAGUGUAACAACUAAGUGUUUGCUUGAUAGUGUAACAACACAUACUAUAUUAUGUAUUAGACACUUUUUCUCGAGUAUGACAUUGCGUAAGGCACAAAUUCAUACAAUAUCAGGUCAUGUUCCGAUUAUUGAUGGUUUUGGGAAUGCUACAAUUAUUUUGCCAAAUGGCACAAUCCUGCAUAUUGAAAAUGCGUUUCUAAGCAUUCGAUCAAAAAGGAAUCUGCUCAGUUUCAAAUAUGUACGCCAUAAUGGGUACCAUAUUGAGACUAGUUAUGAGCAAGAUAAGGAAUAUAUUGGCAUUUCCUUUUAUAAGAUGAGCUUGAAGACCAUCCAUGAGAAGCUAGAAGCUUCUUCUAUGGGUUUGUAUUGUGUCAUGAUUAAGGCUAUUGAAACCUACGCCAUCACAUCCUGGAGAUUUGUAAGCCCUGAUCAGUUUACACUGUGGCAUGAUCGCCUUGGUCAUCCUGGCGCUUCAAUGAUGCGUAGGAUAAUUCAAAAUAUAAAAGAGCACCAUUUAAAGGAUAUAAAGGUAUUGUUGUCCAAAGAUUAUAAUUGUGAGGCUUGCUCACAAGGAAAGCUCAUUAUCAAACCUUCUAUAACAAAGGUUAAUUUUGAAUCUCAUUUAUUCUUGCAAAGAAUUCAUUGUGAUAUUUGUGGAUCAAUACAAACACCAAGUGGACUAUUUCGAUAUUUUAUGGUAUUAGUGGACGCAUCCUGUAGAUGGUCCCAUGUUUGCCUAUUAUCUACUCGCAAUAUCGCAUUUGCAUGUUUACUUGCGCAGAUUAUAAAGCUCCAGGCACAAUUCCCUAAUUAUCCAAUUAAGAGCAUAAUGAUAGAUAAUGCUAGUGAAUUUACAUCAAAGAGUUUUGAUACAUAUUGUGCUUCACUCGGAAUCGAGGUUAAGCAGUUGGUUGCAUAUGUUCAUUCUCAAAAUGGAUUGGCAGAAUCCUUGAUUAAACGUAUCCAAAUCAUUGCCCGCACUCUAUUAUUGAGAACGAAUCUCAAUGAUACAGCAUGGGGUCAUGCAGUUUUGCAUGCGGCAGCUGUAAUAAGAUUACGCCCCACUGCUAGUCUUUUACAAUCUCCUCUUCAAAUGGUUAUUGGUUAUAAACUAGAUAUUUCACAUUUACGCACCUUUGGUUAUGCAGUACAGGUGCCUAUAGCACCGCCAAAAAGGACGAAAAUAGGUCCCCAAUGCCGUUUGGGCAUUUAUGUUAGGUUUAAUUCACCGUCUAUCAUUAGGUUCUUGGAACCAACUACUGAUGAUCUUUUUACUACCAGGUUUGCAGAUUGUCAUUUCGAUGAGACUAGGUUUCCAUCAAUUGGGAUACCUACAACUUCCAUGACUGCAAAACAAAAACCAGUUAAGGUUUUCUCCUGGAAUGAGAAAAAUUUAUCUCAAUUAGACCCAAGGAUCCCUAAAUGUGAAAACGAGGUGCAGCGCAUAAUCCAUUUACAGGCUAUGGCUAAUAGACUUCUUGAUGCAUUUAAUGAUGCUAUUAAGGUAACGAAGUCUCAUAUUCCAACUGCAAAUGCUCCAACUAGGAUAGCUGUUCUCGAAGAACAAGCUAAAAUGGAUCAAAAUCCCCUGCACUCGAAGUGUGGUAGACCGAUAAGAUGCAAGAUUGAUUAGCCCCAGAAGUGACUAUAUGGCUCAAUUGAGGGGGAGAUAUUAUGAAAUAUACAUUGCAGUAUUGAUAUGCGGCGAGUUCACAAGAUGCAAUAAUGAUUAGCCCAAAGAGUGGCUAUAUAUGAAUUGCACUCUUUUUUUCUUUAUGUCCGGUUUUUUCCCAUAGGAUUUUUCCGGCUUAAAGUUUUUAAUGAGGCAAUUAAUGCAUCCAUAAAAGGGAGAGAUCAUAACAUUUGUGCUCUGCACUCUUUUUCCCUUUUGUCCGAUUUUUAUCCCACUGGGUUUUUCCGGCUUAAGAUUUUUAAUGAGGCAGUAUCAUUCGAUGCACAUUCGUAAUGAAUAUGAUGAAUAUUCAAGGGGAAGUGUUAUGAAAUACAUGAAUUAAUAUUCAUUAUAUUCAUCUUAUCUAAUGUACUUAUUAUGAUACAUUUGUAUCAUAUAUUCUAAAUACAUCUCCCUAUACAAUGAACGUUCAUCUCCCUUAUCCAGUACAUAUAUCAUUUAAUACAUUGAUAUUUAUGAUAAGUACAUUCUUGUUCUCCUAUAAAUAGGAGUUUAGUUUUGAUAUACAAUAACAACUAUUAGAACAACAAUCACAAUACAGUGAAAUAUUAUGCUUUCUCUACUAUCUCUAGUGUUCACUUGCUUUCUCUUCUUAAUCUCUUCUCUAUUAUAUAUUCGCAAUGCAAUAUUUUACAUCGUUGUAUUUCUAUUUCUUGUCCAAAUUUUAACCACGAUAAAUUGUUGGAAAUUCUUUUGGGCCAGUAUUUAUUGUUGAAACCGGUAUUUGAGCAUUCAAUGUAGGCUAUUUUUUUAUCGUAUUUUUUGUUUGGGCCUAUGCGGCCCAACCUAAAAAAGUUGUUCAUGGGCUGUGGACCCAGCCCAAGAGAGUGCGGCCCCGUUAACCACUCCUAGGACAGAGGUUGGAAUGCUGUUGCCAAGGCGCCUCCAAGCUUUUUUCUUUGAGUUUUUUUUUUUUCAUAUUAUUCUAUUUUUUCCGAGAUAUUCUUUUCUCUUUUUGUUGGGUUUAUUUUUCCUAUAAAUAAAUAUAAAGUAUAUUCUUUUCUAAAAUUUCUAUUCUUUUUUCUCCUCCUCUUUUUCUUUUUCUUUAAAAUCUAAUCAAAGAUAUUCUUGCUUUUUUUUAUAUGUAAUAAUACAUUUUCCUUUUGUAUUUUCCAAUCAUUCUAUUUUUUUUUUUUUGGUAAAAAUAUUUUCCAAUCAGUCUAUUCAUACAGGUGGACUUGAUCAAAUCCGACUAUAUGCAAUUCACUUUGAUAUUUCCCAACCUACUCAGUAAAACGUCAACAAAGACGUUUUUCAACUGAGAAAGAAUAACGAUACUCACAUAAUUUUGAAAAUUACUAGUGUGCUGCCCAAAAAAAAAAACUUUUUUUCCCACGACAUUGCCCAGGUUUCUUUUCUCCGCACUCCCUCGAUUGCUGCCUUUGCCACAUCUCCAUCCACUCUUUAACUUUGGCCUCCCCACAAGCCGAGGUACUCUAUUCGUUCCUGCAUUUCUAGGGUUUUAUGAGUUUCACUUUUGCAUGUGUGCUUGUCAUGUUAAGUGCUUUCAUGCCCGAAAGCGUUUCGAUCUAUUGAUUUCUUCCGUUGGCAAUUUUUAGUUGUAGCGCUGCCGCCGUGGACAUCAUUUUGCGGGGGGCGGUGUGGCAUCGUCCAUGCUGAUAGCGGGCAUGUGAUGAAAUUUGUAUAUUGGACAGGACCUGUAUUUUUUGAGAGAAUAUUAGCUUUUGCUCUGGGUGUUUGAUGAAUUAGUAAUUUUCUUUUAGUGAGUCACUGAUUCCAUUUUUCAUCAUUGUUUGAGUGUUUGUUGAUUCUGAUGGUAGUUUGUCUUUUAAUUGUGUUUAUGUAAUUGCUUACCUUUAUCCAUCGCUUCUAGACACCCAUGGAGACUUUGGGGGCCUACUAGCUUGUCGACGACGAGAACACGAGCUGUUCAUUUUUCUUCUUGAACAUACAUUGGCUCUCUAAAUUUGCACAUUGCUGCUAGGUAAUAUUAAAAUAUAAUAAGUGUGCCAUGCACGAUGUGCAUAUUCCAAUGCCAACAUAAAAAAUCUAAAUUUCAAUUAAAAAAGCAUCACCACCCAAUUGACAUAAGUACCAAUAAGUCAUAAUUGCUUUUUAUAAUUAGAUCAUUCUCGAAGAUGAUCACACUUUAGAAUGCGAUAGUCCGCGAAAACAUGACAAUACAAGCGCUCGGACUAUUCUUUUGGCUUUGUGAAAUAAUCAAUUAUGAGGAUGUCCUUUAUGCUGCAUGAGGAGAAAAACCAACUCCUGUAACUUGAUGCCGUUACCCUUAACAGUAUCCUCUAAAACGUAACAAGAUUUAGCCAUUCCCCAAGAUUUUGAGGAUUCAUUUCUUACGAUCUAUGAGAUAUAACCCAAGCAUGUCUAGAUGUGAUUAAUUUUUCUCCUGGCUAGACUCGAUUCAAAUCAUCUGUGAAGUACUUAUCAUUCGAGAAGAAGUAUUUACCAUCACGAAGGGCAUGCGCACAAGGGGUCAUCUCCUUGUCUUUGUCCUCUCAUUACACGAUCAAAUUCAACAGCUUCACGUGAAACCAUAUAAGAUAAGAAUCUUUGAUUUCGAGACAUGGUCGAAACUUGACGUAAAUCCUGCUACACAGAUUGCUCCUCAACCAGAGGAAAUUUAAAAUGAAAAAUUAUAAUAUUAAAAUAGAGACGAUCCGAUAAAAUACCAUAUUAAAACCAAACUUAACAUCAUUCUCAUUAAGAGAAUACACCCUCACUCAAAAGUCCCGAAGCAUGGUGAUGAGAACAACUGGAUAGGAGGAUAUAAGCACAUAGGAAAAUACCAGAAAGAUUGAAUGAAUCCCAACGAAGGAUGGUCAGACCCAAACUGAUGAUGAGAGGCACUCUGUUGCACUAGUAUGAGCUAUCCAUCCACAAAGCCUGGCCUGACUAGUUGCUUGAACGCCAUGCUGCACUAGUGACGAUCCACAUAGUAUCCAAAGGUAAAACUGAGCCACCCAUGUGGCAGAGAUGGAUCUGUUCAUUCUGAGCAAUAAAGGUAAUCAGAGCCACCUCUUACAUCCUCUGCAUAUGCAUAGCCUCAAGCAAAGCAUGGGGAAAACAACAAAUUAGCACAUUAUUCUUGCAUGGAACAAAUCUGAAGCAUCACUAUUUGGUGGAUUAUUCUCUCCCAUUGUCCUACAGUACAAAGCACCCUUUUCAUGGGCAUUUCGGGAUAGAAGCUACGAAGAAAUAUUGGUUGGAGAUAAUUUGACAGUCAGAAUAUUUUGUCAAAAUUUUAGCUCUCUCUCAUUGAAGCAAAGCACCCUUCACCAGCCUGCUCACAUGAAACUGCUUGCUGUUGCAAGGUCGGCACAAUCCCUAAUGAAAAGGCAGGUAAAUGAGUUCAAAGAGAAUGUAAAGAAGGAGUGCUUAGAGAUUGUUCAGAUGGAAUGGAUGCAUGACGCUCUAUCAACACCUUCACAUAAUAGGCAGAUGACAUUGCAUAAAUUGUUAUUCAAUGGAGACAACCUGCAAUAAAUUAUUCUAAAUCUCAACAGACAGAAUGUGGAAGUAAAGCAAUCUGCUGCAACCAGAAUAGCUUGGCAUGUUGAGGGAGGGCUUGCGAGCUGUUGAAAGAACUUCAUCUGGUCUUGCUGGAAAUAGUUCCAGGAUAAUGUCAAAAAUUCCUCCUGAGUUCCAUGGGCAUUUAACUAGGAGACGGCAAUUGUGGUGGGAUGCAAGGGAGAAAGCAUCUGAAAUAAUCAGAAUUUGCAUGUCUAUACUGGAAUUGGAAGCAAACUAAUCCAGGUUAACUUACAAAGAUAACAGUUUCGCGACUGACUGCGGUCUCUCAUAGCCAUCCUCCUUUUGUUCAGGCUUCUCUUUAGGCUUUCAUUUUCCUGCCUGCCUUGAUUCUGGUUUCCAGUUAGCGACUUUCAAAGAAUGACCCGAUAACUCAGCAAUGCCUGUCGCCAUAGUUUCUGCCUUCUUAAUAUAUGGAAAAGUUUACUCCUCAAAGAAGUGAGACAACCACAGAUACAUAGACAGCACCUGAUGUUUGGUCUCCAGAUCCAAAAGCUCAGCAUCAUUUCGAGCAGAGCCCUUAGGCAGGCCCACUGCUAUAUUAAUUGGAUUACAAUUGGUGCAAAACAGAAGUUUUGACUGUAAGCUGUGGCAAACCUCAGAAGACGAUACAUUGAUUUUGGGUCUCUGACAUUAAUUGGUGCAGAACAAAUUUUGAAGCGAUCUUCAAGAGAUAGCCCUGGGACCUUCUCCAACAUGUCUACCACCCUCUUAAUAUGGUCGUGCCGACACAAGAAGUAUGAGCUAACAAGACGGCAAUUUUCACCAAAUUUCUAGAGUAGCUUGCAGAACGUAACAUUGGGAAGUUGGCAAGCAAAGAGCUCAACCUGCUCAAAGAAAGGAAAGAGACCCACCUUCUUAACUUCUUCAAAUGGCUGCUUCAAACACUCAAUGAGGUACUCUAAAUCAUUAAGCUCAAAGGUAGUUGUAAGCCCAUCAGGAUAUCAGCUUCCUCUUCUACCAGCUCUUCCGGCAAUCUGCUUCACCUGUGAAGCGGGAACUGGCACCAUCUUAUCACCGUUGUACUUCGAGAGAGUGGAAAACACAACCCUUCUGAUAUUCAGAUUGAGAUCCAUCCCCACUGCAUCACUUGGAACCAAGACAUCAUUCUCAUUGUCUUGAUCAUUAAACAAGUUAGCUUGCUGUCUUCGAGUCUCAGGUGGCAAGGCACCGUAUAUAGCACAGCAGCGGUGAUUGGUGUGCUUCUCAAUUGCCAAUUUAACCUCACAUAUUUCUCUCAAAGAAAAGGCAACUACACAAUCACCGGAUCGAACAUUGCGAAGAUCCCCGAGCAGCGUCUUGGCUUCGACAACCAGUGGCUUGAAUCUGUCGUAGUGGCAUUCGUGCAACUCAUCCCCAGUAUCAGAACAGAUUUUCCUCACCAUAUUCAGAACACUUGGAUCCCCACAAACAUGUAUCUCAUCGACCUUAAGUCCUAGCAAUGCUCUCGUCCAUGUAUAGCCUCUGUAUGGGUCUGCCAUCAUCUGGAUCUCAUAAAUUAUGGCCACAUCACAUAAGUGAUCGGUCAACGCCAGUCCACAGUAAAGCAACAUGGGUCGAGAAAGGGACAUUCUUCUUUUCCUGCUCAGUGUGAAGACUAAACUCCCAAAGCACUCACCUUGUCAACCACUUCCUUAGCCAAUAACCUAAGCGGACUACGAUAAGAUUGUUUAAAUGAAGAAACUAACAAAAAUAUUGUAUGUUACUUUACUUGUAGGAUUAGACAAUGUGUGAAAUUUAGGGGCUUGGGCCCCUUUUGUUAUAAAAAGAAAAGGGUGCUCCUGAAGCUAAAAAUACAGUUCAUGGGCAGCGACGGCUAUUAAAAUUUUGAAGUCCAAGGAUGUUUCUUAUAUCUGUGAAAAAAACCUCAAGCUCCUGAGCUUGAAGCACGACUUUCAAAUGCAGUUAUGGCUGCCAUCUUCAAUCGUGAAUCCUUCCCAUUAGGCGGCUCUUCCUACAUAGAGAUUGUUGCCAAAUGAUGAAAUGUCAUGAAAUAUCAGUGAGAUAAUGCAUGCCGACGUACAGAAGAACGUUAUGGCAAAGACGCAACUCUAUUAUGUCCUGAGACAUUCUAAAACAUUAGAGUAAAAUCUCUUAAUGUUUUGGGAACAACUGUUUCGAGAGCAGACAUUUGCCUGUACUUGAGAAACUUUUGCAUUAGUAUAGAGGUGAUGCAUGAAUAUGUCACACCCAUGUUUUAGUGACUGAUUGUUGACUGGCGGUGAUCGAGGGUACGGAGGAAAAGGAGGAAAAAACAACGAUCAGCCAUGUUGGGCCGAGCGGUGCAGAGGAACUUUAUUUGCAGGUUAAUGAACCUUUUAAAUGCAGUCAUUAUAAGAAUACGGAGCCAUAUAUCCCAUCAGAUGCUUGUAUAUAAUUUCUAUUGCUAAAAUAGGUGCAAGAAUCCUCCAAAAUGAAGCCACAAUAGGCAGGUACAAUAGCAUCAUCACCUGGCAUGGAACAAAGAAAAUUCCAGCAUUAUACAUCACUGUGUUCCUAACCGUAAUUAGAUUUCUCAGGAAAAACAACGCAAUAUAACAGGCAUACAAAGUCAGGUGAGUUUGUCUCUUUUCGUAUGUAAGUUCCAUUCAGUGAAGCCUCUUGAAAUUAACACAUUGAAAGAUUUGUAGAGACAGCGGAGUAAAGAGUCGAACAUGCUAGCAUAAUAAAAGCUAUAUUCAGCCAUCUCACUUUACCUAGACCUAUAACUAAGCAAACGGUUUGUCUCAACCAGACAUCAGACUAUCUUUCACCAGCCACUGGCCGAACAAAAAAUGAAGCACGAAAUAUGAAAAAGAAAGAAAGUACCCCUUUCCAAAAGGAACAAAGGAAGCACAUGGGAAAGUUCUAGACCAUCCAUUAUAUGUACUCAAUGAUAAUUAUUGUAAGAACCUUCCUAUAGCCCCAUAUAUGAAGUGGAAGCAGGAUAUACUCAAAUAGAUGUAUUCCCUCUUUCGAUUAGUGGAGCACAGAAUCAGGUUCUGUUUCAUAUAGAACAUAUCAUAAUCCGAACUUGGGAUAUCAACAUUAUUAAGCCAAUUUCAAAUCAUAGAACUAACAUAUGCUCAAGAAACCUUUAUACUCAGCUGUACUCUCCCAAACAGCUGAUUAUCUCAAAACGAGGGGCAGCGUAGGAAAAGGAAUUUGCACGACCACUGGAACAAAAUCUAAAUGCAUUUCAACCUUAAAAUUUAACCCAUAUUGACAAAAUUGAAAUGGUACUUGUGAAGGUUGAGAUAAUAGUUACCUCAGGAUAUCCAAAGCUGAUCACAGAACAUAAAUGGAUGCUCUAGACAGUAGCCUGCAGAUAUGUGCAAGAUAGAAUUAGCACCUACCGUUCCCAUCCUUUUUACCAAAACAAUAUAUUCAAAUAAAUUAAGUAAAAAAGUACAUGCAAGAGUUAAAGUAGGUCAACCACUAUUACCCUUUGAUCAAAAAAAAGAAAAAAACACUAUUUGCCUAAUUACCCAAGGAGGAGGGUGGAGAAAGCAGCUUAGCCUGACGUUGCAACCAUGAGAUGCCACUUAUGGCAGAAUAACUAUUAUGUUCAUUCUAUUGGCAAUGAUUUUAAUACAAGGCCUUCGUAAACUGUCGAAGCAACUGAAACUGGCUGUGCCAUCAGCUUUCAAUUUGACAAGUGGUAAAUGGAGAAGUUAAUAAAUGUGAGCACCCAAACCCCCCACCCCCACACCCCAAAAAAAAAAAAAACACUUUAUCCCGUCGCUUUCUAAACAUUAAUCUGAUUCUUUAUACAACGGGUUAAUGGUGCUAAAAUGCAUUUUUCUGUUAGUGUUCUGCUAUGAUUUCAGCAUUUAAAUAUAGAAUGCAGACCUCCAAAUUCACCAUUCAUAGCACUAGGUAACCUCCUUGCUCAGCUGCCCUUGGAAGACAACCUUUACUUGUGGUACUUAAAAUACUGCGUAGGGCCAGUCUAGAAAAAAAGUACAGCUGUACAAAGGCUCAAGCUAUCUCCAGAGCUACAAAUGAUGCAGCCAUGGCUUCAGAAAUCGAACAUCUUAAAAUGAGUUAACACACUUUGGGAUAAGUUGGCAUGUUGACCAUACUUCAUAAGCCGUCCUCACUCUAUCUCCUAUAAAUGUGAAUUCCUAUCUAAGGGAGAGUGAACAAUCGGUAGAAGCCCUAAAGCACUCCACACACCUCUUUGUAAAUCCCAAUACUUGUGGUUUUAGUUCCUCUCAAGGAAGGAUUUCUACCCACAGAGUUUACUCAAACUAUCUGAUAGAAAAGUCUCUCUCCCCACCUCUCGUAUUGCACAAAAGUCUUCUAGAAAGCUCAUUAUUGGGUUGUGAAGAGUCAUUAUGUUUAAUCUUUUACUUCUUUCAUUCUGCUAUAAACCUAAAAAAUCUGGAAGCUGCAUCUUCAUAAGAUGAAAAUAGCUUCUAUCAAGAAUCUAGAAUAUAACCAAUUGGCAUCCUCUGCAAAGAAUGAAAAACCAGCACUUGAUUGAUCAACCAAUCAAGUGUUUCUUGAUCUUUUAUUCGUACCAAGCACCAAAAAAUGCCACAUGUUUUACAUUGCAUCCAUUUCAACUAAAAGGGUAAUGUACAAUAUGACAGAAAUUUUUUUGGAAAUUCUCUAUCAAUGCAUGAAUUACUUCUAUUCAAAACAAUGAUGGAGCUGGAAAAGCUUUAAAGUCAGAGAGAGAGAGAGAGAGACUGGGUGAGGGACCAGAAACAGGAAUUGGGAAUAAGAGGCAGAGCAACUGCAAUUUUACUCCUGAUGUUAAAUGAGGGUAUACUAGUCGUAAGACAUAAAUAGAGCCAAUUUGGAUGUGGAAAUAGAAGCCUUGCAUACUUAGACCAAUGUACACAUAAGUAUGUACAAGCUACAUCAUUAUGCUAGAUGAUCUCAUUAGAUUUUGUUUCCAAGUACUGGUUCUCCAAAAGGUACUACAAGGAUGAGUCAGAAGCAAAACCACAUUUAAUAAACAUAUAGCAUCACAUCGACUUGUGAAGAUGAUACAGCCCAACUGAUAACCUUAAUUUGUUCCUUUGAAUUAAGAUAACACAACUUUGCCACUUUACCUUCUCUGAGUUUGAGGUGAAAAUUACUUUGACAGCCUCAAAGACCUCUUCAACAGACUUUCCAGUAUCGAUCUGAAUGAAAGUCAAAAGAGAUAAGCAAUCAAAUGAAAUAACAUCAUGCAAAUACACCUACAGAAGAUUCAACACAUUCAGAGAUUUCCUCACCUUUCUAACUUUUUCCUUCGAAUUGUAGUACUCGACAACCGGGAGGCUAGACUCCAAGAACACCUUAAACCUUUUCCUUAUUGUUUCUAUGUUGUCAUCUUCUCUUCCCUUCAAAACCGGUAACAAAUAGUGGAAAAGCAUCAGAUUUCUAAAAUGACUACAUGAGCUGGAAAGGUGACAAAAGCAAAAAGUCUACUUGUACGGUAAAGGUGGUAAAGAAGUAAUUGCCUGACCUGAUUCCUAUUCAACAAGCGCCUUUCCAUCUCUUCCUCAGAACAAUAAAAAAACAACACGAAUUCUGGCUCAAUUUUUGUCUGCAAAAAUCUUACUGGUUAUCUCUCUUGGAAGGAAGAUCAACAUGCAAUAGCUAAUAGGCUCACAUUUGAAAUGUGAGGGAUAAUACUAGAUUAGUUCUAAGAUUAAAGCAGCGCAAUUCAAACAAAAAUAGGUAUAGCCAAGCUUACAACAGCUUCAAAUGCGGCACGAUUUUCCUCAUUGCGAGGGAAACCAUCAAUAAGGAACUUAUCAUUUCCACUUUCCUGCAUUGCUUUCUGCAGGAGCUUGAUUGUCACUUCUGAAGGCACUAUCUUUCCCUCCUUAAUCAUAUUCUGGAUCAUAGUUCUGCCAAUUGAAAUAGGAAAUUUGGUUGGUCAUUGGGCUUUCAAAGAGAAUUCAAUUGGAAAAGAACCUAAAAAGACAUGGCUCCUACGAUGUGCAUUCAUUCAUCUCAUCCGCCAUGUAACGAUUCAUGAAACGUUAUCUCAGUGGAAACAAAGGCAAAAAAAAUGUGAAAUGACCAAGAAAUCCUGUUUAAGUGAGCAUUAAAAAUAAUUACAAAAGAAAGAGAAAUAGCAUCAUGUAAAAAACUUCACUUGAACAUGCCUGGACUUACAUAAUUUGGUUUAGUCAAAAAAGGAUCCUACCACAUGGAAAAUAGAGAAUGCACAUAUUUCUAGCGAAACGUGCAAGUGCAGAUACUAUCUAUACUAGCUUUCUAAAAUAAUAGAAUAUCAAUGACAGCGGCAUUGUUACCCAUUUUCAGAACCAGAUUUGAUUUCUGCUCGAAGAAGAUCACCAGCACUAAGAUGGGUGAAGCCAAAGUGCUGAACAAUAUUGGCACAUUGCGUGCCCUUUCCACUGCCAGGUCCACCUACAAAUUAAAGAAAGCUAAAUUAAAAAGGAUGAAAGAGCCUCCACCUUUUGGCAAAGAACUUCGAAGUCUUCUGAAGCAAUAAAAUAAAAAACUCCUUCCAAUAAGUUCAAAGAAUUUUAAAACCCAUAUCAAAAUCUGUAGAAGCAAAAUUCGAUGUGUAUACAUUGAAUCAUACACUCCACAUUUAAAUUUCCGGCCAUUAAGAAGGCAACUCUAAUAUUCUCCAUCCAAAAGACAAACAUGAACCCCAGUUUACUGUGAGUGUAAGCAAAAAUUAUUAAACGUGCAUAAUAGCAAACGGUCACAUAUUAUGCCCCUUAGUAAUAACGUAUGAUGCAUUUUAAAUCAAUCUUUUGUAUUUAGAUUAACAUUAUGGAGCUACUGAAUGCUCAUUCUGUUUUGAAGGAAGGGAAUAUAUUGAAAUAAAAGAAAAUAGAAAGAUAAUGCUGAAAAAAGGGGGGAAGAAAUAAAAUAAAGUUUAAAAAGAAAAAAAAAUUGAGUAAAAAAGUUGAAUUUCGUCCGACAAAAAAGAAAAAAUCUCACCUAACUCUAAAUCAAGCACCAAACAUUUGAUCCAAAGGGGAAGGAUCAAAACUUCAAACGAAAGACAAGCAAUAGUGAAAAUUUGAAACACGAUGCAUCCCUCAAGCAACUUUGCUGAAAGAUCUGAAUGAAUCUACUUUCUGCUACUUAACAAAAUCAACUAAUAGAACAAUAGUAUCACAGAAUCUAAUAGAAGCUAACUCAGAUGGAAUUAAUUAUUAUUAGAAAGACCAUACUGAUGAAAUAAAGAACCCUGUUAUCCUAGAGUAAGUUGCAGAAACUUAAAAGUAGAUGCUCACCCAAAACAAAAACAACUGUGGGCUUCUUCUCUGUCAAGCUUCCCUCCUGUAAGCAGGCAGUUUUUCAUGUCAGCAUUACGCAUCAGCAAGUUGGAAGAAUAUGUCAAAAGCAUUCCAGUUAUUCUUCAUAUCAACAAAUUCCUCUGAGUAUAUUCUCAUAGCAAGUUGUCAAGUCACUUUGAUACCAUGGAUGUCACACAAACCUUAAAUUAACGAAAGCGAGAGCGCACCCCACCCUCCCCACACCCAUAAACAUACACAGACACAUACACAUAUGUGCACACGCACAUGCAGAGAGAGGGGUGGGAUAGAAUCAAAGGUUUUCUGGAACAUGAUCAGCAAGACAGGACAGUUACUCACCUAGACUAAGAUAAUGUAUGAUGAGAAACCAAUCAAGCAUUUUAUUCUAAAGUUGUUUUCACUUGGAGACUUGAUCUAGCCAUUCAAAUGCAUCUUAUCUCAUCCAUGUAUACUUAGUGCAUUUUAUCAGACUUACAGUUUGAGGUAGUUUGAGGUCCAUUGUGCCGAACCUGAUCCCUUAUUAUCACCUCAGCAGGGUAUCAAGAUACUAUUGAUAUGCCCCAAAUCUCAACAAUAAAAGGAACUUCUUAAUUCUUACUAAAUAUUUGAGUGUGAACGAAAUUCAAAGAUGAACAUGUAGAUGCAGAAACAACUGAGAUUGAGAAGUCUACCACUCUAGAUUGGAAGAAUGAAUAACAUAUGAGGGCAGAUCAGGCAGUACGUCAUGGCUACAGUUUAGUACUGACAUUCAAAACAGAACACAAGUAACCAAAAGAAAGCUCUACUAGAAAAGAAAUCAGAUGCUUGCCUCAAUUGCAACAUCAAUAACACUUCCCAUGAGAGCCAGCUAAAGAAUACUGGACCGCAAGAUCUGGAUCACCAAGAAAAAUAAUUGUAUUAGGACAGCUAAAUUCAUGCUGUCAAUUCCUGGUAAGGCUGCCAAGUAGAGGCCAUGUUAAGAUCCAAACACGGCAACUAAUUAACGGAUGAAUCAAUGACAAUGAUCUAAGAAUUUUUCAUUCAUUUGAUCGAUUAGAUGAUUAUGAUCACGAACUUUUUAUACAUAUUCAAACUAAGUAAUAAAUUCUAAGAAAAAUUUUCACGUUCUUUUUUCUGUUAAAAGUUAGAGAUAAAAUCGUACAUUUUUAUAUAAUUCAAUGACUAAUAUGAACAUAUAUCAAAAGUUCAAGAACCUCGAUUAUCGAUCACAUCAUCAACGGGCCCUGAUUGGGCUUCAGAGUUUGAUGGUAUAUGUUUUCGGAUCAUCACUGCCUCCAAAAAGUCGUAGAUAAGAAGAAAUCAAUGGCCAGAAAAGAAAAAAAAAUAAACCUAAAGAAGAAAAAUAAACCAGAACCAGAAGCAAAAGCUAGAGAUGAUGGAGUGUCGAUCAGAGACGGUCGUCUCAGAUGGUACGGACAAUCUUUCGCAUCACAGGCCCACGCCGCUCGAGCGAGAUGCUACCGCCACCUAAAGCGCUACGGGAAAGGUGGGGAAAGAAGCAAAGCAAUCUGAACUCGAAGCUGAUGACCCGAGCGGACGACGGAAGAUCUGAGAAUUCUGCAAUCGACGACGACGAGAUCCGGAGGAUGGAUUACGUCUGAACCAUUCAGAGUGUGACACCUCUCCUCGGGACCCGCCACUUCUGCUUUCUUUUCUCUCCCCCGUCAUUCCAAUUCAAACCAACGCUCGGGCGGGUGGGCAGGCAUUUUAUGUUUGCAUCUUUGUUUUGGGGGAGAAAGCUGGCCUAAAUCUGCGACCAGAAGUUCACUGGUUUAUUGCUUUUGAUCCUAAGCGCAGCAACGCGAGAAAGCUUAGGCGAACCAUUGAUGAACAGUGAUUUAAUUUGCUUGCUGUCCGACCAUUGUUUCGUGCAGAUACUUGAGCAAUUGGCAGAUCUCAAGUCUCCUUGGAACUGCCCCGAUAGAAGGCCGGUCAUGCAUCGUUUGGUCAACUUGACGGCAAUAAGCAAAAGGUAAGACAAGGACUCUGCUUAGUUAUGAUGAUUCAUGACUUGAUGCUGCCGUCAAGUGCAUCAUUUGCUGCAAUGUUGUUCUUACAUAAGCGAACAUUUUACAGAUGCUGGUCUCACCAGUCUAAGGAUGGCAGCAUAUAUCUGAGAUGUCGCUCAAUUCUUUGCCUCUACAUGCCUAGACUCUUUCAAUUAUUUACUUGAAUUUUAACAAUACUAAGCGGCCAAUUUUUUCAAUAAUCCAAUGGCUAAUUGAGUCUACUACCUAUAGCAAUGUAAGGGUGUUAUAUUGAUAUUUUGUCCUUCAUAAAUAAUUGUUAAUCUAGCUUUGUCGACUGACAUAAUCUGGUGAUACUAGACAUGUUCAAUAGCUCUUUUGUCCAUCUCAUGCGUUGAUUACGGGGUGAAUUUUGUUUUAGUUUUUACAUUUGCCGUCUUUAUGGUGCUAAUUGUUUGUAGGGAGAGUUAUGAUAUCUGGAAAGUUGGAUUUCAUGCUUUUUGAUUGUUGUAAAGAUGAUUAACUUUCUUCUUACUGAAUAAUGAGUCUAAAGGCUCUAAAAUUAUGUUCUAUCCAUCUGAGAUGGAAAGAUUUAGCUGUUAUUUUGUUAUGGUUAGGCUUUCUGGCCAUUAACUCUUAGUGGUUGUGGAGUGCAGGUGGAGACUUGUAGAGAUAGAUGCUGACUUAUCAAACUUGAGCUCAGAAACGAAGCACGUUAUGUCUCUUAUUCAUCCUGCUAAUACUUACAUGGUACUGUUGUUAGACAGUUCUUAUAGCGUCUUUCUAUUAAAAUGUGAAGGAUGUGUUUAUCACAUGAUGUCGACAUUAUACAUAUUCUCAUUUGUGAACAUAUUCUUACUCGGUACUGUUGUUAGACAGUUCUUAUAGUGGGAUUCGUCUCUUCCGGUUGCUGAUCUCUUUUUUUGGGUGUCUCGGUCGAGAGGAUUCUCGAGGGAGAGCUGAGCAGGGGGAAAAAUGAGAAAAUAUUGGGUCGAGAGGAUUCUUGGGGGAGAGCUAAGCAGGGGGAAUCUCAAAAGGACUUCGUACCCCAGCAAGAGCCCAAAAAUUUAUCACGAUUAUGUACUCGAGUCCUAAGAUUUUCGUCUCAUCCGUUCUUAAGCUUCGUUAUUUUGAAAGAAACAGAAUCAUCCUCGUGAUAUUUGGGAAGAUAUAUUGACUAUCAAGCCAUGACUUUCAAAGAGCGCGAAAUUAUUCACAAUAAUUCAAGUACACAGUCGUCCAUUGCCAUCGCUUGCAGCACGUUCAAUUCGAAGACCAUCUCUUCCAGUCUCCUUCCCAACUACAUCAAACAGUAGGGGAACCGGAACACUGCAUUGACCUGAUAAUGUCUCCACUAACUACAUUAGAUAUGCUCUGCAACAGUAUCUCGUGUGUUUUAUGAAUUUGACCACGUGUUCCUCAGCAUUUUCCCGAAAUGCAGCACAGAAACAUUUAUAUAACAAAGGAAAAAAAAAUGUACUUUUAAACCAGACAUUCAACAGUAAUAUAAGAUUUGAUGACACUCACCAAUUCCAGUGGAUAGCCGUGAUGAAAGCCACCUGGAGAAAAACUCCAAUCUCAUAUGUAUGAAACUGUUCAUGGAUGCAGAUUUUAUAUUCUCAACAUGCAGGCAAUUCCAACACUUCCAUUUGCUGCAAACGCACAAAGCCUUAGUACCAGAAUCAUGUGUUAAGCUUUCGCAAUGCGAAAGCCCCUCUGUCUUAUCUGAAUUGUCAUUGCAACCAGAUACAUGCCUUUCUACCCGUCUUAUAUUCCACCUUACCAGUGAGUCUUUCCUUUGUGGGAACGCAUCUUCCCUUCUGCUGAUUAGAUGAAGAGUGGAGCGAAGCAAUAAUUGUCCUACUAUCAUCUCUCUUGUCAAUAGGUCUUUGGACCAUUAGGCUAUCGCUAUUUCCUUGGUGUAGAGAAACUGACAGGAAUUCUCAAUCCAAGAAGAGCAAUUCUGUCUAGUGCUGACUGACAGGGCUCUUCUGCAUGAGAUAGUUUAUCUGCUGAAACAGAGCUGCUGUCAUCAAACUGAGCUCUAACCAAAUCUCCAAGUUGUAAAUCUACAGUAGUUUCAAGCAACAAUCUACAUUUGGAGCAAGAAAAGCUUGCUCCACAGUCCAUCAAAAAUGGUCUCACAGUUUCAAGUCCUUUACUGGCCAUAUCCCAGCAUCAUUUUCGAUGAUAGAUCUUUCUUGUAUAAACACAUAACUAAACGUUAUAUUGGAUGUUACCAUCUUCCUUCAAGCCAAAGCAGAUAUACUCAAGGUAAAGUAGGCCAUUAUGAUAACCUCUGAUAAUGUACCUAAGAUAGAGGACAGUGCCCGCCUGCCAAAACAAAAAGGCUUCCGCUCCAGUUCCAUUCCCAAUAAGUUCAAGGAUAGUGCCCGCCUGCCAAAACACACAAGGCAAAAGAAGGGAUCGGUAAUUUGUAAAGGGUACUUCUACUGGGGCCAAAACUCCAAUGAAAAAGCAUUUGCUAGAUAAUUUUGAAUGUGCAUUCAACAUAUCAAUAUAGGGGACGGAGCUAACUCACCUGUUACUCUCACUGUUACUCUCACUGCCCUUAUUCCUGUAAGUAAACAAUUACCACCUUAUAUUAGCAUAUGGCAGAGUCCAAUUGAUAUCCAUUAUUAGCCAUUUUUAUAUUAUGACAUUGAGGCCUUAAAAAAAUCCUCACAUGCAUAAAAACAGCAAAUGAAUAGUGCAAUUAGAAGGAUCUUCAAAUUAAAAGUUAUUUUCUCGUAACAACUACAGAAUAUCUAUACAUUUGUUCAUAUAGCUUGUAUUUCUUAGUGCAAAUUUAGGAUAGAUGAUUGAGUAGCUCACUUUUUCAUUCGAAGGAAAAACCAACUCCUAAGUCAUGUCAAAUGUUUCUUCCAGCGAAAUACACUUUUGUGUAGUCCAACUCAAAUAUCUCAAGAGCUGCAAAUUCCUGGCACACUAGUGGAUAUAUCAACUGAGAAGGAAAAAACAAUGAAUCAGAUCACUUGUCGAAACUAUGUAGUUCUUUCACCAAUCCUUGUCCAAAUACUGUUCAUAGCCCCAGUGCAUGGAAAAAGGAGACCACAUAUCGCAUCUUCAAAUACCACUAAAGGAGUAAGUUCCAUUAAAAAUAUAGAAGCUGUUGCAGAGAAUAGUGAUAAUUCACAUGCCUUGGAAUUGUUAAAAAGGCAGCUUGAUCGCAUUGUCAAACGGUCAAACAAACUAGGCUCAAAGGUAUGGAUUUUCUAAAACAUGCAGAUACAGAGAAUGAGCAUUCUCACAUAUCGUUCUCAUUUUCUAUUUAUUUUCUCAUGGACACAGGCAUCUGAGGGCACGCAUGUUUUUAUUUAUGUUCCCGGGAACAGAAAUAAAAUAAUAAUAAAAAAAUGUUUUUGUUCCGGGGAACAAUUUUUGAAUAAAAAAACGCGUUUGGUAAACUUGUUCCGGAAAUAAAAAAUGAACAGAAACACGUUUGAUAAAUUUUAUUCUUUUUUUAUUUCUUUUAAUUUUUUAAUAUUUUUAUUUUAUUUUUCAUUUUUUCAUUUCUUUUUUAUUUUUUCUUUUUUCGGCCGGUCAGUGGUGGUCGGCGACCAGCCGAUGGGGCCGGCAGCCUCGCCCAGCCACGACAAGGCUCGCCGGCCCCCAGCAAGGCCGAGCCUCGUCGUGGCUGGGCGAGCUCGAGCUCGCCCCGAUCCGGCGAGGCCGAGCCUCGCCGGGGGCUGGCAAGGCUCCGGCAAGGUCGUCGACCCUCGAUGGCCGGUCGCCGGCCAUGGCCGAGGCCGGCAACCAACGAAAGAAAAAAGAACAAAAAAAGAAGAAGAAAAGAAGAAGACAAGAAGAAACGUUUCUUCAAAAUUGUUUCUGGAACAAGAAGUAAGUUUUUUUUGUUUCUUUUUUUUGUUCCUAAGAACAAAAAAACAAAAAAGUGUUUCUAAACAUGCAACCCUGAGUGUAGUUUGGGAACUAAAGAAUGCAUACUCAUGCUGAGGGUUGAGUGACGUUGAGAAAGGCGAGUGACACCAAGGGUUGAGUAGCUUCAAGAGAGGAGAGCGGCAUCAAAGGGCGUUGAGUAGUGCCAAGGGUCGAGCAUCGUCAAGGGGCAUUGAGCGAUGCCGAGGGUCGAGUGGCGUCAAGGGGCGUCCAACGGUGCAGAGGGUUGAGCGGCAUCGAAGGGCGUCGAGGGCGACGAGUGUCAAGGGGCAUCAAGGUCAUCGAGGGGCAUCGUCGAGAGGAGUGAGUCGAAUCAUCGGAGAGAGAUUUUAGAGUGACAUGAGGGAGUUGAGGACAGGGCAAACAGGGAAAAAGAAGAAACAUAAAGGGGAAAGGGGAACAAACAAAUUGAAAUCUAGGAUUUUCACAUUUUAGAUUCUAGAAUCCGGUUCUGGUUCCAAUUCCAGUUCCUAUAGGAAUCGGGAACUUGUUCCCAAAAAAAAGGAACUGGGAACCGAAACCUCCCUCUUACCCCUAGUUGGAAUAUACACAUCAUACGCAACGAUGCUAGCACGACACAUGCAUAACACUCUUAGGAGUCCAACGCCUGCUAGAAGAAGUAGAAGUAGGGGAAGGGAACCAACCGCACAAUAUGCCUCUUGUUGUGCGAUUGCAACAUCUAUAGUUUGCAUCGUGCUAGGUUUUGGUUAGUCCAUCUUCUCCUCUCUCUAGCUCUCUAGCAUUGUGUCCAAUAUUUCCAAGCAUUCCAUCAAGUUUUUCCAUAAAAACUAAUCAAUUCCUUGUAAAUCGAUGAUGUUGCCCAAAAAAAAACGAUAACAAUAAUUUGGUUAUAUUUGAGUGCACUUUUUUUUUCUUUUAUUUAUUAGUGAUAAAAAUAAUAAAUCUAUUGCCAAAGGUCCUUUUUUUAUUUGGUAAGAGCCAAAGGUCCUUUUUUAAUGCAUAAAAAACAACCAAAAUUACUUAAUUAUAUAUAACGUCAUCCACUUUUUCCUUCUUUUUUAGCCAAUUUGGGAUAAAUCAUCCUGGAAAAUAGUUCCUGAAAAAUAGUUCACAUAAUAUUUUCUUUUUCAUUUUUAUGUUUUCAAUUUCUUAUAUGUGGCUAAAUUUACUUGGAAUAUUAGUAUAACAAAUAAGAUUUUUGGCAAAAAUUGGAGUGAUGAGUGAGGCAAGCGUAUACAUAAAGCCAGACCUACAGUUGAGCAGUGAGGAUGAUAAUUUAUGGUUGGGAAUAUCUAAACUCUUCUCCCUCUUUGGGUCGGCACUAAUUGGGUCCACCUCCAACAAACUUCCCAGCCGUAUCAAGGUUGUGUUGCCUAUAUCCAUUCACUUUGUGGGCUCCCUUUUCAUGAUCUUUGGGCUAGGCUUUUUCUACUUACUACUGGGCUGCCUUAUCAUCAAUAUCAGGACGGGCUAUACCUUUACUAUAGCUUCUAUCUACAUUAUGGAAAUAUCUCAUACCUUUUACCGUGGCCUACUCACGUCAUUCUUCAAGGUAGUCAUUUCUUUCCUAAUUUUGUAGCAUAUAUUUAUUUUUUAAAAUUUAUCAUUUGUCUAAGUAAAAAUUAAGGUUAGAAAAUUUCAGUUAAAGAAGUUAAUUGUUUUGUAUGCUUGUUUGGGUGUUUCAAAUUUUCAUGAACGAGGGCACCCUCUUGGCCUACGUCUCCCACUAUUUCUUAUCCAAAAUGCGCACGGUCUUACCUGCUCUAUUUGGGAGGAAUCCUCUUUGACUUGAUCGCUUCCAAGGUGCUGGUCAUGCCAUACCAAAAUCUCCACGAUGUCUUGUCAAGCAUGGUCGCGUGAAGGAGGCGAGGGGCAUCCUGGCAUGGAUCUCUGACUCCGAGGAAGAGGCGGCACAUCGGCUGAAUGAGGUCAUUAGCCAGAUCAGUGGGGAGGGCAUGUGGCAGGCUGUCAUCCACCCAACCCAAUCAAUCCUACACAUGAGCAUUUGUGUGUUUGGAAUCUACCUAUUCCAACAAGUUUCUAGAGCUGACACCAUGCUUGUCUACGGCCCUCGCAUUUUUGAGUAGACGAGUAUUGUCAACCAUAAGGAACAACUCCUCCUCAUAACAAUAGACCUUGUGAAGACCAUGUUCACUCUAGUCUAUGCCAUUAGCAUUGAUCGAGUGGAGCGGCGAAGGUUGAUGCUUAUUAGUGUUGGCAAGAUGAUUGUCACUCGCCUCCCUAAGUGUAUCCCUCACUAUCAUCCAACACCAUGAGGAAGUCAAGUAGGCUGGUGCCAUAUGCAUCUUCUCAUUACUGUGCUACACGGCCUCCUUUUCCAUUAGGAUGGGGCCAGUAGCAUUGGUCUACAGUUCAAAGAUCUUUCCAAUGAGGUUGCACGCCCAAGGGUACGGAAUUAGUGUUGUAAUGGGUCAGAUGGUAAGCGGCGCGAUGUCCAUGAGUUUUAUGAUUUUGUAUAGAGUGGUCACCCUAGGAGGUGCCGCCUUCCUAUUCAUGGGGAUGGCUAUCUGAGUCUUUGUCUACAUCUUAAUGUCGAAAACAAAACAAAGGUCACUUAAAGAUAUUACAAUUAUUUGGCUCAUGAACAACAUGGAGCAGCGCGAGGGCCAACCGGGGGCCAAUCAGGGUGCUUGAUAUCAUUUUUAUGAUUCCGAUUCCGAAUUCCGGACAUACUCUAUUUAGUAAUUUUGAAAUCUCAAUUAAAUUUUAGUGAAGUAUGACGAUUUUCAGUUGACACUCUAAUAUUGAACAUCUCAAUUACAUAUUGAUGAAGCUGUAAUCAUCAAAUAUCACAGAUCAAUAUUAUGUUCCAUUACCGUGUAAUUACACGGUAUAACUAAUUGAAUGAACUAAUUACACUCCUAAAAUACGGGAUAAAUUAAAUGAAUUAAUUACACGGUAAUGAAGCAUAAUAUUGACAUGUGAUAUUUGAUGAUUACAGCUUCAUCAACAUGUAAUUGAAAUGUUCAAUAUUAUAGUUUCAAAUGAAAACCGUCAUACUUCACUAAAAUUUAAUUGAGAUUUCAGAAUUACUAAGUAGAGUAUGUCCAGAAUUCAGAAUAGAAUCAUAAAAACGAUAUCAAGCACCCUGGUUGGCCCUCGUGCUGCUCCACGCUGUCUAUGAGCCAAAUAGUAGUGUAAUCUUUUCAAGUGACCUUUAUUUUGUCUCUAGCAUUAAGAUGUAGACAAAGACCCAGGCCAUCAUAGCCAUCCCCAUGAAUAGGAAUGCGACACCCCCUAAGGUGAUCGCUCUAUACAGAAUCAUAAAACUCAUGAACAUCGCGCCGCUUACCACCUGGCUCACUGCAACGCCAAUUGUGCACCCCUAGGCACAUAACCUCAUCGGAAAGAUCUAUAAGCUAUAGACCAAUGCUACCGGCCUUAUCCCAAUGAAAAACGAGGCUGUGUAGCACAGCAAUGAAAAGACGCAUAUGGCACUAGCCCACUUGACCUCCUCAUGGUGGUGGAUGAUAUUGAGGGAUACACCUAGGGAGGCGAGUGACAAAAUUAUCCCGUCGACGCUAAUGAGCAUCAACCUCACUACCCCACUAUAUCAAUGCUAAUGGCACAGACUACGGUGAACAAUGUCUUCACAAGGUCCACUGCUAUGAGGAGGAGAAGCUGUUCCCUAUGGUUGACAAUGUUCGUCUGCUAAAAAAUGCGAGGGCCGUAGACAAGCAUGGUGUCAGCUCCAGAAGCUUGUUGGAACAAGUAGAUUCCAAACACACAAAUGCUCAUGUGUAUGAUUGAUUGGAUUGAGUGGAUGACAACUUGCCACACACCUUCCCCACUAGUCUGGCUAAUGACCUCAUCCAGUCGACAUGCCGCCUCCUCUUGGAGUAGAGAUCCAUGCCAAGAUGCCCCUCACCUCCUCCACACGACCAUGCUUGACAAGCCACCGAGGAGAUUCUAGCAUGACCAGAACCCCAAAAGUGACCAAGCCAAAAGGACUUCUUCCCAAAUAGAACAUGUAAGAUCGUACGAAUUUGGUGCACAUCCUAGAUAAGAAAUAGUGGGAGAAAAAGGAUUUCAAGCUACGAAAGCACAUCAAGUUAGGAACUCUAGGCUACGAGAGCACGCUGUGUCAAUUAAGAGACAUCGGGCUAUGAAAGUACGCCGAGUCAAUGAAAAGGACUCUGGGUUACGGAAGCACGCCAGGUCAAGAACUCUGGAUUACGAGAGCACGUCGUGUCAAUUAAGAGAAUUAGAUAUCGGACUAUGAAAGUACGCCAAUUUGAUAGAGAAGACUAGCCUACAAAAGCACGCCAUGUCAAUGAAAAGAACUCUAGGCUAUGGAAGCACGCUAAAUCUCAAGGUUUCAAGGAGCAACUUGAACGUCAAGUAUUAUUCGGUCUUCAAGGAAAUAUUAUCUGUCAGACAUUAUUAGAGCAAAAACUGGUAUGCAUUCACCAAAGAGGUAGACAAUAUGAGCUACUUUAAAAUGCACAAUUCAAUGAAGUUUUUAUCAGUUCAAUCAAGGUUUAUGCAUAAUGACUUUAUCAUAUUUGCAUCACCCAAAUUUCCACAGGAGAGAAUUGUCAUUCAAAACAAUGGCAUGGAUUUCCUAAGAAUACUAAAUGAGAGACUUUCAGUUAGAAAAGACUUUCACUCACUCUUAUUUAGAAUGGCUAUUUUAGGAGAAUCACUCCGAUCUCAUUAUCAUCAUACCAACAAGGGUUCGAGUAUCAUCGCAAGCAGUACGACCUUACCAAUCUAAGAGGUCUUUAAUUGGGACUAUAAUGUGGGCUUAGUCAAUGGCUUAACAUAGAGACUCUUUGAAUUAAGGCAAUUGAAAGAACAAUUCUAUAAUUAUCUCUGGGUUUACAACUCAAGAACUCUGCAAAAUGAGAAAAAAAUAAUCUUGUUCGCACUUUUUCGAGCGAUGCUUAAAACAUAUGAACCCCUACAUUAAUUCAAGUGCCAUAAUUAAAAGAGAUUUUGCAAGGGACGUAACGUAGACGAGGUUCAUGGGUUGAGAAAUGAAAUGAUUAUUAGGCUCAAAAAAGUGUAUAAGGAUCAAAGUUGAUGAUCAUCUAGGCAUUGUCACAGGUCUUGUCCUUCACCAGGGAUUGUCAUUAUGAAAAAAUUAAUUUUGAUCCAAAGAUGACCGGAGUUUGAUAGUUUUGAUCAAGAAAAUAUUUUCCUUAAUCAAUACGUCUAAUCAUUGACUAGGUUUUUCUAUUAUUAUUUUAUUUUAUGUAUACAUGUCUUUGGAGGGAAUAAAUAGAUGCACAAGCUCCUUUUCCAAAUUGAUGAAAAUUGCAUGCAAGUUAGAUGAAUUAAAUUUUGUUGAGGUUUUCCUCAAUGGCUAAUGAAUUAUGAAACAUUUUAUUAUUAUUAUUAUUAUUUGCAAUCUCAAGAUAUUUUCUGCUGCUUUUUUUUAGUGUAAUUAAUAUUUCAAAAAGAUAAAUUGAAGCGGUGAGCUUUUAUUCACCAAAACACAGUGUGAAAAUAUAAAAAAAGAAAAGAAAAGUAUAAGUAUCUCGGUAUAGGGUGUCUCAUCCUGAAAUAAAGCCUACCAAAACUGGAGUUGCUCGGGGAAUUGCUUUGAAACAAGAAAGAAGAAAGCAUCCUCUUCUUCGAAGAGGAAUCAGAAUGGAAGUAAAAGGAAGAAGAAUAAUGGAAUGAUUCAGAAUCAAGAUGGAAGCUGCAUGAGCUCGAUGGUCAUUUUACAGAGGAAGGAAUUGAGGUGUUAGAUGCAAUAUUGGUCUUUUGUUGAUUUGAUUUUCAUUAUUUUGUUUUGUAAAAUUCAUGAUUAUCGCCUUUUUCUUGAAGUGACUCUCAGUUCAAGCUUGGUAGCUAUGAGAUAAUGGUUUUAUGAGGAGUAGAAAAAUCAUGUCCCCAUUCCCAUUUUCUUGAUUUCCCUCUUUAUAUCACGCUAAAAAGGGCAUGCUGAUGCUUGCCCUUUUCAACAUGAACCUUCUUUUCUUGCCCAUUUUAAAAUAGGGGAACAUAAUUUUGAUCUUAUUUUUAGAAUUGUGAGGAAUUUCUUUUCACUUUAUGGACAAGAGGAAUAGGCUUUAGAGGCAUGGUUAAGGAAAUUUGUGCCCAAGGCCCAGGUUGAGCAUGGUAUCUCAUUAAAAAGAUCAAAAUGUUUGAGAUGCGUUAUCAAUGUCAACAGAUGUCAGGUAUCUACUGCUAUAUUGUGAGAUGGAGAUAAAAGUUCAAAGAGCUAUUUCGAAGAAAAAGAGGCAAAAUGAAAGAAUGGUAUUAAAAAAAGAUUAAAUUUUUUCAAUAAAAUUUGGUUUCUUCUUUUCUUGUCGAUGCUUAUGUGUGCUUGAUGUUUAGCUCAUGGAAAAAUGUAUGAAGUUAUUUUUCAUGCAAAUAGUUACUUUUUUUUUCUAAAUUGACUAGUAAUUAUGAAGAUAGGUCACAUGCACUACAUAAAAGAGAAUGCAAAAAAGAAGUGGAAAGAUUUCAAAAGUUUGAGAAGGUUCAAUUAUGAAGAUAGGUCACAUAGACAACAUAAGGAGCCAUAUUGCCUCCAAAGGUGGUAUCCUAUAAAUCUUUCUUUGAAAUGGUUACAAUCCAAAUACAAACUUCUUAUUGGGAAAGAUAUUGAACCAAUUUAUCCUAAAUGAUUGCAUCCUUUCAGUUUUUUCCUAGAUGUCUACUCUCUCUCUCUCUCUCUCUCUCUCUCUUUUCUUGUUGAUGGGUGAAAAUAUACAGAUCUAUCUUUUUUUAUCUAAUUAGAGACUUUGAGUUUGCUUGUUUUUUCAAGAAUAGUCACAACCUUUUAACUCUUGUUAAAUCUGUAAAAGUUAUAUUUUCCCCCAAAUGUUAUCCAAGGCAUUUUUCACAUGGAUGGUGCUUGUAAAUCAUCCUUAUGUUAAUUCUUUUGUUUGGAUACUCUUUUUAAUCUUCACGCAAAAAUUGAAUAAAUAACCACCACACAAACUUGAAACGUCAUAAAUAUGUGGUUGAAGAUAUAUGGUUGUUGACAUAUAUACACACGUAUAUAGUUAUUGAAUUAAAUUAUAGAUAAAUUAUUUAAGCAUAAAAUUCUAAACAUAUGUUUUCUUACAUGAUUAGUAUAAUGGUGUAAAUACAUCCAUAAUCUUGACAUCAGUAACUUAAAAAAGCUUCUAGCAAAAUGCUAAGAUGCUGCGGAUAGAUGCAAUAAUAUUACAUGAAUACAUGCUCAUUACUAUUUAUGAUAAAGGCUCUUUUCUUUCUUUCUUUUUGGUGAUUAGGUUUAAUUCAACCCUAUCUUUCCAUUAAAUCCUCUUUUUUUCUCAAACUCAAGCUAAAUUAUCUAGAGAUUUUAUGUGCGCAUUACUAUUUAUGAUAAAGUUUGUCUUUUGUGAUUAUUUUUAAUUCAAUCUAUUUGUCCAAUAAAACUUCUUUUUUCGCAAACUUGAGGUAAAUUAUCUAGGAUUUUGGCUAUUAAAGUUUGUCUUUUGUGAUUAUUUUUUUCCGUGUACCCCCUCCUCUCUCAUCAACCUAACCGCCGUUUCUCUCAACUCACAGUCAUGGACAUGUCCGAUUUAGUUUUUCUUUUUCAUUAUUAUGGCUCGUGUAUAAAGUCAUUACUAAAAAAGCAACAUUGUGAACAGCAAGUGAAUGAAUUUAUUUUGCACACGGGUGCAAAUAAAAACCUGAAGGCCAAGACUGAAGCAACAGUCCUUUUUCGCUGAUUCUACCUUACAGCUCAUUUUGGGUUAGGCUAAAAAUUUGGUCUUGCCUAGCUUGGAUUCUUCAAUUAUUUCCUUUAUUGGCUAACUUAACUAAUUGACCACAUUAUUGAAAUGAGCAACAAAAAUCACGGCAUAAACUCGAAAAUGGCCCGAAAUGAGCCAAAAAGUGGAUUACGGUUUAUGAAAAUAGUUGAUACAUAAUAAUUGUUUAACUUAUCAAAGAUAGGAAAGAUUCACAUUUUUAAAACUUUAAAAGCAACACGUGUUGCCCUAAAUUCUUUCAGUACCAGCCUUUUUUUUUCUUUUUCAUUUUUCGGAUCAACCCUGCAAAAUAGCCCUCCAAAAGAUAAGUAAAGUCUAUUUAGCUUAGCCCAAAAUUACAAUCAAACUUACUUCUGAAAUCUGAUUUUUCAGCCAUAGUGAAGGCUAUCCCACCGCUGAAGGGUCGCUUGCCAUUGCAUUGCGGGAGAAGAAGGCCAAGAGGAAGAAGGGGAAAAAGAAAAGAAAAAGAAAAAGAACAAUUAAUUAAAAAGUCAAAAAAAUUAUUUAAAAAUGACCACAUCAGCCUUCACGGGCGAAAACAAGUUGGGGGAUGCCUCUAGUCAUGGUGGAACGUGAGAAGAGGUUGGGGGAUGCCUCUAAUUAUGGUGGACUUAUAUUAUUGUUUGUAGUUUCUUAUAACAAUUUGUUGGUAAGAUUAGUCGUGGUCUUAAAAUUCUUGUGUAAAUUAUUUUAUUAGAGAUCAUCAUUUACCUUCAAAUUAUUUCCAACUAUUCCCUUUGGGUCCCUCUUUAAGCUGUAUCGCUAGGGCAAUUAGAGAAAAAAAACAUUCUUAGUCAAUGAAAAUGAGGAUAUUUUUCCCCAUCAUUCCUCCUACCUCAAGAGAUUCUUCCUUUUUUCUUCUUCCUUUUCUUUUCUUCCUUUUUUUGCCCUCCUUUUGAUUGUUUCACUUUUCAAAAAUGGGUUAAGUUUUAGGUUUGAAAUUGGAGUGCGUUUUGGCAAAGGUGCAUUGGGGAACUAUUGAUUUAUCCCCCCAAAAAAAGAAAAGAGACUGGAAAAAGAAGGAAGGAAGAUAAAAUAGAACGGAUCCAAGAGGAGUAAAUGUGUAAAUCCUUCGUUUCCCCUUGUGUGCGGGGAGGCUUCGAAAUUGGGGGUUGGAUUUAGAUCUGAAUCCAAUCGGAUGUGUUUUUUUUUUUUUUUUGGGAUAGAGUCCCGAUAUGCUGCCUUGAGCAUACAUGAUCGGAUAUGACCAUGGCAAUUCUAAUCCAACCAGUCGAGCUUGCCUGUCCAUUUCGAUUUUAGAAUACACUAGUGUCGCGACCUACCCUCGGGGGGAGGGAACAGGUUUAGGGGUGUUGCCUAAAAGACGAGCCUAAAGCCCAUGAUUGGGCGCGAGUUCUCCCAAGCCCAUACCCCGCGUGACAUUGGAAUAUUCUUAGGGAAUUUUGCACAAAAGGAGUCGCCACUAGCCUAUUGGGGUCGGCUAGAAACCAAGUGAGGCAUGGGAGUGUGCCUCACUUCCUACGCAACCAGAGAAUCUAUAGUUGGGGACUUGAUUACACUAAUUAACCAAUUAAUGCCAUUUCGGUACCUAAUCUUAUUCAUUUUAACAAAAUGAUUUUUGGCAGGCAAUUUAGAUUGAUUUUAUGUUUACCCACUAGCAUGCGAAGUGAUCAUGCGGGUGCGCAGUUAUUAAAAUAACAAUUAGCAACUAAGGAAAACGUUAAAUAAAUUGCACGAGAAAGCAAAGAAUUAAUAUUAUAGAGAUGACAAAUGCUAAUCCUGACUAGACUAAAGAGAAGCCAAACUCCACAUAUCAAUAUUGUGCACUUAAAGACAAUUGUCCCUAAGGACGGUUGAAACCCUAAGGUAAAGCCCCAAAGGCUUAGUCAAUUUUUAAGCACAACUCUAGAAUUAAGAAACUUCCAUUUUUUUUAGAAAGAAACUUAUAAAAUCUUUUUGUAAAAAUUUUCAAAAGAAAAUUGAAUUUCCUGACAUUUUCCAAUUUUUUUAUUUUUUAAAAUUUUUUAAUUAAAAAACUCGGAUUUUCAAUUUUUUUUUUGUUCUUUUUAAUAGUUAAUAUUAUUAUAAUCAGAAAAACGGGUCCGGACCAGUAAACCCAAUCCGGUCCUCUGGCUUGACACAAACUCCGAGUAAAACUAAAAAAGAGGAAAUCGAUUUCUUAAAACCCAUUUUUUGUUUCUUUUGUUUUUUCGUUCUUUAUAUUAAUAUUAAUAUUUUAAUCGAUUUUUUGUCUUUUCCCUAUUUCAUCUUUUUACUACGUCUCUUCUCUGCGGCUCCUCUUCCCGAAGUCUGCUUUUGUGUUUCACUUUUUCUGCAAUUUUCUUUUUCUUUCCUCUUUUUUUUAACUUCAUCCCUUUUGGCCUUCUUCCCCACAAAUUUUCCUCUCCGAACGUCUUCUUUUCCCUUUUGUCUUUUCCCACUUUUACAUUUUUUAUUUUUUCUUUCUACCCAUCUUCUUCUUCUUCGUGCAUUCUCUGCACGCCCAAAAAUGGACGAAACGGACGAAACAAAAAUGUGCGGAACAGCAACAAAACGCAUCUAUCAACGGCGGGCGCGUAUAAUGGACGAGGGUUCAAGAAUAGUCAUGCUAGCUUCACUCAAGCAUUUAUACAAACAGUUCGCGAGCAUUACCAAAUGUUUGGAUUUCCGACUCAACCGAGACUCGAAAUGGGACCAGGGUUCUCGGAAAACGACCAGCAACACACACAGGUUUGGCUAAAGAUUUACAGGCGCCGAAGGAACCAAAGCUCAUGCGAACAGGUCGUCCACGAGCUCUGGUCCGACGCCCUACAAAAACGGAGCAUACAUGAGUAAAGAAGACCUACUUGGUUCAACGAGAAGAGCCGCGACGGACCGCAACUCACGAACGGACCACCGAUGGCGGCCACAACUCCCCUUCGACCUCUCUCUCUUGGAUAUCUCUCCCUUCCCGGUUCUCCGUCUCUUCUCUCUUCCCUCGCCGCUUUUCUUUUUUCCCCCUUGCUUUAGAUCUGGAUUCUAGGGAAGAUGGCGGCGAACGGCGUCGAUUGGGUGGCUCGUUGGCGACGGUGGUGGUGGUCCGGAGAGGCCUGCAACGGUGACGCCUCCUCCCCUCCGUUUCUUCCCCCCUCCUCUCUUCUCUUGGUCCUCUGUGCUGGGUCUCUUCUUUUCCUCUUUUCUGGUUUUUUCUCUCCACGAGCUCCUCUUCAACUCGUUCUUCGGUACUCUUUGUUCUCUCUCGACCCAAAAAAAAAAAACAGCCCCAGAACCCCCCCUCUCUCUCUGUUUCUCUCUGUCUUGGGUCCGUCCCCCCGCUCUCUACUGCCCUCCUUCGGUCUUAUACUUCUGUCCGUUCUUUUUCUGCAGGUAUUCCGAGCGAAGACCUCCUGCCGUGCCAGCUGGUCGAUCGGUCUACUUCCCCGACCCGCGGAUCGCGCCGAACCUUGAUCUUCUUGCUCUCGCUAUGCUGCUGCAACUUCUGCCACUCUGUUUUUUUUUCUUCUUGCAGGUCUUUUCAGCGAAGACCAGCAGGAGGGGGGAAGAAAGCUGGGCACGAGCCGAGCCGAGCCGAGCCGAGGAGAAAGAAGAGGAAGAUGGGCCGUGCGUGGGCCACGCGAGGGAGAAAAGAAGAUGGGCCGCACAAGGGCCUGUGCGUGGGGGAAAAAGUAAGAGAGAAUGGAGUCUCUCGUUUUCGUUUUUUUUUUUUUAAUUACUUAAUUUUUUUGUAUUUUCUUUUGUUUUGUUGUUUUUUUUUUUUAGUGGCUAAUUCCUAAUCUUGUACACAAUUAAGUUUUAAGUAAAAUAGUAAAAUUUAGGUGUCAACAACUGGUUCAAACUUCAAAUGUAAAAUGGGUUAAGUUUUAGGUUUGAAAUUGGAGUGCAUUUUGGCAAAGGUGGAUUGGGGAACUAUUGAUUUAUCCCCAAAAAAAGAAAAGAGACCGGAAAAAGAAGGAAAGAAGAUAAAAUAGAAUGGAUCCAAGAGGAGUAAAUGUGUAAAUCCUUCGUUUCCCUCGGUGUGCGGGGAGGCUUUGAAAUUGGGGUUGGAUUUAGAUCCGGCUCCAAUUGGAUAUGUGUGUUUUUUUUUUUUUGGGAAUUGAGUCCCAAUAUACUACCUUGAGAAUACAUGAUCGAAUAUGACCAUGGCAAUUCUGAUCCAACUAGUCGAGCUUGCCUAUCCAUUUUGAUUUUAGAAUACACUAGUUCAAACUUCAAAUGUACGAGUUGCACCCAGAACGAUUUUGAAAUUGGACUAAACUCCUAUCAAACUUUUAUAGUGUAUGCUGGUUUAUUUCCUAAUAUAUAGAAAGCUUGUCACAAUUUUGUACAAUUAUGGGUGGCUAUUUGAGAUAAAACACGAUUCCGAGGGUCACUUUGAGAAUUCUAUAUCAAUUUGGGGGAUGUUUGAAAUGAGAGAGAGAGAGAUCAUUUGGAUUCUUGUCGGACCAAUUCUUUUUGGUAGCCCAUGACCAUAGCAACUUCUACUUUUGAGAGGGCUUAUUUGGCAAGACAUGUCCAAGAUAGUCUCUUCUGCCAUAUUUCAAAAUCAACCAAACUUAGAGCAACCAUUUCGAUUCAAUUUCUCCUCAUAAAUAGUGACCGUCCAAAUUUUAACAUAUGCCUUUUGGCACAUCCCUUAAAAUAUUUUUUUGUCACUUAACUUGUUGCUCAUAGCUAGACCUAUUAAACGGGUGAGUCAAAUCGGGUUUGGGUCGGGUAAUAAAUGGUCCGAUCCAAAUCGACAUAUUUAACCAAUUUAUUGCGGUGCAAAAUUUUUUACUCAUACCCAAUCUGACCUAUACUUAACAUAUACCUAACCAAUUUAACUAAAUCUAAUAAAGUUUAUUUCAUAUAUAUAUAUAUAUAUAUAUAUAUAUUAAAAAUAGUAUUGCUAAAAUAGUUUUAUACAAUACAAAUUUAAUGAACAAAUUUUAUAAUUUUUAAAAUAACUAUUUUUUUUAAAUGAAUUUUAAUUUUUAAAAUUAAAUUUUUAUUUUUAUUUUUUAAUAAUAUAAUUUUUUUUCCUUUUUUGUUCUUCUUCUUCUUUGGCCAGCCAUCGGCCACGACGACAGCCAAUGACUGGCCACAAGCGAGCCUCGAGCUUGCUUAGCUCGCCAACGUUGGCGAGCUCAAGGCUCGCCAAAUCAGCGAGGCUCGAGCCUCACCAAACAUCGGCAAGGCCUCCUGGUGAGCUCAAGCUCGCCCCUUAUCGGAUUUGGCAAGGCUUGAGCCUCACCCGACAUCGGUGAGUUCGAGUCUCGCCAAAUCCGAUGAGCUCGAGGCUCUUUAGAUCGGCGAGCUCGAGCUUGCCCAACGCCAGCAAGGUCGAGGCUUGCCUGGUUAGUUGCCAGCCAUCGCCGUGCCAUCCACCGGAAGGAGGAAGAAGCAAGAAAAAAAAAAAUUAUAAUUUCAAUUUUUAUAAAUCUUUUUUUUCUGUAAAGUUAAAGAGGAAAUAGAGAGAUUGUGAGGUUUUGGUUGAAAAUGGGUUCUACAUCCAACCCAUUUAAGACCCACCUAUCUCAAGUCUUUAAUUGUUAAGUCCAUUUAACUAAUUUCUUCAAAAAAGAAAUGACCCAUUUUGCCGCAUCUACUCAUAGCACGUGCUCGUGAGGCUUAAAGAGUAUGAUUGAGUUAAUCAGAGAGCAUUGAGCUUGAUGUAGGCUUAGGGUGCGUUUGGGAACUACUUUUGGGGAAUGUCUUUAGGAAAAUGCAAAUACUUUGACUUAAAGGUAUUUUUCAAAAUGCAACCGUGUUUGGUAAAUUGCACUUUGAAAGCUCUUUGUAAAGUAUUUUGAGCAAAAUAGUGUUUGGGAAAUUACACUUGCAAAAGAUCUUUGUGGUAAAAAAAAAAAUUAUCAAAAGAAAAAUUAAAAAAAAUUGACCAAAAGGGCAGAGUGGCCACCGGCGACCUCCGGCGACCUCCGGUGACCUCCAGCGACGCCGGAUCUGGGGCAGCGAGGUCGCGCGACCACGCCGCCCUCGGAACUGGGGCGGCGAGGUCACGGGAGGUCGCGCGAUGCCGCCGCGACCCAGAUCCGAGGGCCGCGAGGUCGCGCGACCCAGAUCGGGGGCGGCAAGGUCCUCCCGCGACCCUGCCGCCCCAGAUCUGGGUUGCGGUGACCCAGACCUUGCCGUGGGUCGCGGCGGUCGCGCCACCGCCUAGCGUCGCUCGUCUGGGCGACGGUCACCGGCGACCGCUCGCGGAAGAAGAAGCUCGCAGAAGGAGAAGACCGUCUGCCGCCCCAGAUCUGGGUUUGCGGUGACCUAGCCCUCGGUCGCGCCACCUCCGGCGUCGGUUGCGCCACCUCCGGCGUCGGUCGCGCCACCCCCCGACGAUCGCCGGUGUCCCUCUAGCAGUCGCCGGCCGCUCACAGUCAGCCGGAACCGAACCCCCCCGGAGAAGAUGAACAGUUGCGACACAAGGGCAAGAACCGGAAAAACAAAACAUUCAUGAGGACAAUUUCGGAAAAAAAAAGUUAUGAACAGUGCUCGUGUGGGCAUGCCGAAAAAGCCGAAAGCCCAAGGCAGGUCCCCCCCUGCCUUGGGCUUUCGGCUUCACACAUGCUGGCAUUCCCUGAAUGCGGGCUCAAAAAUUUUUCCCAAACGGCCUAGCAUUUGGCCAAGUACCUUUAGGCUUCAAAGGGGCUUUGGGAAGUGGUUCCCAAACGCACCCUUAGUCUUGGAAGAUCAUAUGAGUUGGCAAGUCGGUGCAUUGGGUCGAUUUGAAUGUAAUUGUGCUCCGACCAAAAAAACAAAAAUGAAAUUGUGCACCUAUUCCUAUUAAACGAAAAUAAUACCAAUGUCUAUAAUGAAAAAAAUGAACUAAGUUGAUGCUAUUAUUAUUUAGGAGUUUCGUAAUAAAUAAUUAACUCGUUAAAAUUUUGGUUUUAAUAACAAUUUCUAAUCAUGAAUCUGCGGUCCUUGCCAAACCUCAGCGAGUUGGAGCAAAAAAAGCCAACUUUCCAAGGGCAUAAAUAGUAUUUGUUAGCAAAAAUUUAUAUUAAAUAAAAAUUAAAAUAAAAGCUUCUAUUCCUAUCUUGUUGGAUAAAAUGAGAAGGGGAAUUCCAUCCAUUAAAUCAAAUUUUCCAAGCGUGAGUGUCAAUUAAGAAAAUCAUUCCUACUUACGUCUUUAAACACGGAUUUUAGGACAUAAUGGAACCUAUUAAAAAAUGUAUGGAGCCUCGAUGGGUAUUACCUUUUUAGUCAUUUAUAUGAAUUUAUUAAUUAAAAAGGAGAUUUUUAAAACUCUGGUCGGAACUGUAAUAUCCACCGACUCCCCUCCCCAGUUACGAAAGUGAAAGGGAGGAAGGAGAAAGUGAGAGAGAGAGAGAGAAGGAGAGAGACAAGGUGUCACUGUCGUGGAGCCCACCCCAUCUGGCGCAACAAACAAGAUUAAACGUCCUGUCUUGUCCUUUGUUCCGGAAAAUCUCGUGUCUGGUCCUUUCUUCCAGACUUUUAUUUUUAUUUAUUUUUUCCGGGACUUCUCGAAGGAUAAACAGUCAAAUUUCCUUGGGCGGAGGNNNNNNNNNNNNNNNNNNNNNNNNNNNNNNNNNNNNNNNNNNNNNNNNNNNNNNNNNNNNNNNNNNNNNNNNNNNNNNNNNNNNNNNNNNNNNNNNNNNNNNNNNNNNNNNNNNNNNNNNNNNNNNNNNNNNNNNNNNNNNNNNNNNNNNNNNNNNNNNNNNNNNNNNNNNNNNNNNNNNNNNNNNNNNNNNNNNNNNNNNNNNNNNNNNNNNNNNNNNNNNNNNNNNNNNNNNNNNNNNNNNNNNNNNNNNNNNNNNNNNNNNNNNNNNNNNNNNNNNNNNNNNNNNNNNNNNNNNNNNNNNNNNNNNNNNNNNNNNNNNNNNNNNNNNNNNNNNNNNNNNNNNNNNNNNNNNNNNNNNNNNNNNNNNNNNNNNNNNNNNNNNNNNNNNNNNNNNNNNNNNNNNNNNNNNNNNNNNNNNNNNNNNNNNNNNNNNNNNNNNNNNNNNNNNNNNNNNNNNNNNNNNNNNNNNNNNNNNNNNNNNNNNNNNNNNNNNNNNNNNNNNNNNNNNNNNNNNNNNNNNNNNNNNNNNNNNNNNNNNNNNNNNNNNNNNNNNNNNNNNNNNNNNNNNNNNNNNNNNNNNNNNNNNNNNNNNNNNNNNNNNNNNNNNNNNNNNNNNNNNNNNNNNNNNNNNNNNNNNNNNNNNNNNNNNNNNNNNNNNNNNNNNNNNNNNNNNNNNNNNNNNNNNNNNNNNNNNNNNNNNNNNNNNNNNNNNNNNNNNNNNNNNNNNNNAUUUGUUCUUAUCUUCCCAUAGAAUUUCAAAUAUCCCUUCUCGCUGCUGCACCGACAAAUUUAAACAAAAAUAUAAUAAUUUUUUUUUAACACAGACUUGUAUAUUUCGAGAAUCUUGUAGGCUUGCUGAGGUUACUUGUUAGCACUUUUGCUUUUUUAGUCUUUUUAUUAGGAUUAAAUGCCAUCAUUAGCUCAGUGUUAUAGCAAUUAGGUUCUGCACAGGAAAUGCAAUAACGUGACCACAUGUUAAUGUAAACACAAAAAUCUACGUGUUAAUUUGAAGAAAUCAUAUUUGCCCUAACCUCUAUCAUAUCUCUCUUGCAAUUUAAUUCAAUACAUUUUUUUUUUGUAACUAUUCAAUUCUGCGAAAAAGUUAGGGAGGAAAUUAAGGGCUGUUAUCACUACUUCAACUAGAUAUAUAAUGCACCGCACACACAUUAAUAUAAAUACAUGAUACAUUAAAAAUCACAAAAAAAUUUCUUAAUUAGAUAUUUAAGAAUUUUUGGAGGUUCAUUCAAGAAAUAAAUUUCAGAGGUAGUUCCGUCCUCCCUCUCUCACGAUACCUAUUUUAUAGAGAAAAUAUUUCACAACCGCCACGUCACCCAUCUACAUGACAUAUACUUAUUUAUGUGGAUUCAUUAAUAAAAUAACACGUGUCAUUUGAAGUUAGAAUAAAAAAAUUAUUAUAUGAACUCAUUUGUCUCUCUCCUCUAGGGCUUGUUGCAGGCGGCGGUAGGCUGAGCGGGAUCAAUGGCUCCUCUGUCUCUCUCUUUCUCUCUGCUCCUCUCUCUCUCUACUCUUAUCCUAUUUAUGAGAUCCAUGAGACCCACUGCUCCAUGGCCACCGUCCAAGUGAACCGGCUGGUGGGCGCGGGGCGCCACCACGUGGCUCUGCUGUCCCCUCGCCAUCGGAAGAGCUUCCACUUCUUAGUCUCGUUCUUUUCUCUCUCCACAAGCCGUGGCAAGGCAAGGAGAACUGCUCAAUUCAAUUCAAAUGAAAAAAAAGAGUAAAAAGAAAAUAAAAAGCAACAAUCACUCGUAUAUAAAAAAGCCAUUAUUUAUUAUUUAUAGAGUAGUAGUUGUGGUCGUGUGGAAAUAUAUUUGGAAGAUGCCACAAUAUACUAGGUGGAGGCGCUUAUCGGGCGGGCUUUGGUGAAAUAUUAGGAUCGCGCACUUUCUUUCAUCCUAAUGCGAACGAAUUCGUGGAUAAGGUGACCACUUCGACCAAAUAUCAUCACUCGAGCCCGCCUAAUAGUGUCUUCAGUCCCUCGUGACUCUGACCAGGUCAGGACAAGCUUGGGGAAUCAGACCUCCAUGAUGCUAUUACAAUGAAAACGCGUGGUUCCAGAUUGUGGCAUACAUAAGUAUUAUUCAUUAAUGUGGUAACAAUUAAAUGUGCUAUUUUCUAUAUAUCAUGUUGAGAAUAAGUAGUAAUCCCAGAAAUGAGGUGAUCAAAUCUAUCAUAUCCUAGCCCCGAGCAUCCGUUGAGAAUGUAGAAAUUGAAUGAUAACAUAAUGGGAAUCACAUUAAACUGAUAAAUAAUAACUAAAACCAGCCACCAAGGUCCAAGAAGCACUCACGAUAAUUACUUUGGCCCAUCGGAGACUUUGGAUUUUGUAUGAUUUUUUUGUAGACUAUGUGUGUGUACAGGUUGGGCAAGCAAAUGAGUGAUUGCUUAUUGUCAGGAUAUAAGGCUCUCAUCCGUCUAUCUCUAAAGUAUUAUUAAUUGAUGCUUAUUUCAACAUUUCAUAUGAAUACAUAUUGGGUCUAACCAAAAAGGGAAAAUAGAAGGAAGAAAAAGAAAAAACUAAAACUUCAGUGGUAUUGUUGCGAUGGAUACCUCAGGCUUUGCAACUAAAAGCACAAGUUUCCCUAAGUAGUUGAUAACCAAAAGGGGUCAAUUAGUUCACACUUUUAACCUAAGAAUUCUCUCCUCCCCAAAUAAAGACGCUCGGAUGCGGAUGGGCCCCACGAGCAGAAAAGAGAGAAGUGGGGCCCAGCUAAAAAUUGGAGAAAUAUACCAAAAAAAAGAGAUUUCCACUUUUUUGAUUUCCACCUUUAUUUUACAUCACACUGGAGAGGAGAGCUGGGCAGGAAUAAUAAAUGGCGGCUGGGGUCUGGUGCUUCUUAAGGUGAAUUGCUGAUUUUUUCUCUUUGCCUCGAGCCGCACGAGCCUAUAUUUUCUGGCCAUUUUAAAUAGGAAAAAACCAUAAAAUUUGAUUUUAUUUUUUGGUAUCAUUAAGGAAUUAUUUUCACUCCGUGAUGGAGAAGAGGACUUAGGCCAUGUUUGGUUUAGCAUUUGGAAUGCUCUUUGGGGCUCUAAAGGGGUUUAGCCAAAUGCUGUGGUGUUUGGUUCAAUUUUUUGAGAACUUUGGGAAGAUGCAAUUGCAUCUCUAAGGGGUUUUAAAGGCUUUUGGGGGAAUGGAGGGGUAGAGAUCCAUUGGGAAAUUGCAUUUUCGGAAGGCAAGUUGUACUGUUCAUCACUGUUCAUGCAACUGGUGGAGAAGACGAUUGGGGGCCGACGACCGCCGACCAAGGGUCGCGCGUGUCGGUGAUCGCCGCCUGAGGGUUGCCCAACCCUGGCAACCUCAGGCGACGGCCGCUUGGGUCGUGCGAUUGCCUGGGGUUGCAACCACCCAGGCGAUCGUCGCCUAGGGUCGCCCACCCUCGGGCGGCCGUCGCUUGGGGUCGCCCGACCCCGGCGCCCGUCAGGGGGCUAGAUCCGGCUAUCCGGUGGUCAGAUUCGGCGGUCUAGCCGCCAGAUCCGGUGGUCUGGUGACUGGACUUCAAAAAAAAAAAUACAAAUAUAUUUUUGCUUGUUUAAUUUAAUAAAAGUCAAUUACAAAUGCAAAUUUUAUAAAACGGUAUUUUGACCAAAGUUGUUUUUUAAUGCAAAUUUUACUAAACGAUAUUUAUAUUUCGGAAAACCCCAUUCACCUAAAGGAAUUUACAUUUUUGCAAAUGCAUUAUUCAAAAGCCGAACCAAACGGGCCCUUAACCCGGUGCAUUUUACUCUUGAAAGACCUAAACUUAUAUAUCGAUAUAUCCUCUAUUCUAGCACCAUUUAAGGGCAUAUUUAUCGCGUUAAUAUAAAUUCAAGAUUUUUUACAACACAAAAUAUUUUAAAUAUGUGUCUCAUAGUGAGCAAGUUUGCAAUGAAUUUAGUUUGUGAUUUUUUUGGGUACUAACCUUAAAUACCUAGGAAAAAUGGAAAGUGUUGAUGGCGCAAACUUCAGCACGAGACAUGGCGCGCAUGUAUGUAGGCAAUAUGCCUGACCAAAAUAAUUUAGAAAGGCGAAGCAAAAGGAGGGAGAAAAUUUAGAGGAGAUGCGGGUCCCAUCUUUGUUAUGCAUCCCCUCGACAAAGAUUUGGCCCCAGCCCUAAUUCUUAUUUCCAUAUUUUCUUCAUUCAUGAAUGGUGGUGUGUUGUCAUUUCAUGCACUCUCCCUCUCCUUUCUAUCUUUCCAUGCGUCGGCUAACCGACAGAAAAAAAAAAAACACUUUUUCAUUAUUUAUUCACGGGACUUUGGUCACGCAAAAGGGUCUUGUUCCCAGCAAAUUAGAAAAAAAAAAAAAAUUAUGCAUUUUGCAAGCAUGAACAUAAAGGGAGGCUCACCACCCGCCUCGGUGGUUUUGCUAGAUAAGGUCCUGUUGAUCCUUACUUUCAAGGUGAGAGGUUCGAAACCUAAUGGAGGCGCUUGGUGCCUUAACUGCUUGCACGGAAUGGUGGUUCCCUAGUGCGGUCCCAGGAUUUGCCCGCCGGCUACCGGCUGUACGGGGUUCCUUGGAUCAUAAGAAAAAAAAAAGGAGGCUCGAGAAAUGUAUGUUUGUCAUGUGGCGGCUCUUGGAUUGUCAUUCAUUCGGGUGAUUCUCCCAAUCGUAAGGUGAGGGCCAUGAUUUAUCAUCCCUACGCCCAUGCUUCCUAAUUUAGAGGAUCAAGGCGCCCUGGCUAUUUUUUUCUAUGUUGUUGCCAGGGCCAUGAAAAUUAUUGAGGAGGGCAUAUGUAUCAUUUUGGUUCUCUAGGAAAUCUAUUUUGGACUCUCUCUCUCUCUCUCUUCGUAGGUUGGGCUUUCCUUGGCAUACAAAUGCCAUUCCAUGUUUGCUUGUUCACGGCUCGACACACUAGCUGCCACUCCUUUCUUUUCCUCUCUCCUAACCACCACCGUCAUCUCAAACUCCAAUAAUUCCCAAUUCUUAUUUUUUUUUGUCAGUCUUAUUUUAUUUCUAUUCUAACUUUCGCUAUUAGAUUUUAGAUUUUUGCUCUCCCCUUACCGUAGGGCGUGAGGGUCAAAAUCCAUAUUUAAUACUGAAUUGUCCCUAUCCCAACCCCCGUGAAUGUGGAGAUUCGAAUCCUCCACCUCACUCUUUCGUAUUGGAAGAGUGGCCAUUGGGCAAUCCCAGUGAUUCAAGAACUAAGAACUCCCACUUCCCUCUCUCUCUCUCUCUCUCUCUCUCUCUCUCUCUCUCUCUCUCUCUCUCUCUCUCUCUCUCUCUCUCGUUUGUAUAAUGGGAAGUUUCUUGCUCUUCCAUUUUCCCGCACCCCACCUUUCUGAAGAAAUCUGAAGUUGCAGCAGAAAGGACAAACCUUUUGCUAUCAGAAACUCCGGAAACAGGAGGCAACUCUUGCUAAUACAAUAACCUCGUAAAAUGAAGCGGAAAAAAAAGGAAGAAAGAGAGGGAGAGAAAACAAUAUUUUAUGUUGUACCAAAUCUUUAGGGUUCUGGGGCCGUUUGGUUCAGCUUUUCCAAGGGGCUUUGGGCCUCGAAAGUCCCUUAGGAAAAAAAAUUGGUGUUUGGUUCAGCAUUUGAAGCUUCCCUUUUCCAAAUGCUGACCUUUGAAAUGCUAAAAGCCAAAGCAAGUCCCCACCUAUUUUGGGCAUUUCAGCAUUUUCGGCAUGCUGGUCUAAGGGAUUAAUGAAUUUUUGCUCAGUGCCUAUUUUACUCUCAAAAUUUUAUUAAAAGUCCAAUUUUACCUAAUACUAAACAAAACCCUAAUUCUUUCCUCUAUUAUGUAGCAUUCUCCAUCACGUGAUGACGGCUCUCUUCUUUGUCUCUCUCUCCUUGCAACUCACACCACUCCAUCAAGAUUUGAAUUUGAGUACAACUCCAUCAAGGCCGAAGUUUGUCGCGAUGAGCGAGCGAAUCUGAGAUCCGAGGUUGGUUUUGUUUCUCUUUAAUCGUUUGCUUCCUCUCGCGGAUUGGCGACGGCUCUGCUUCCUGCUCCUGCAUCGGUGAAACCCUAGGGACGAAAUGGGGGUUAUCCUGUCUUGUGUUGCUAACUUGAACUUGCCCUUUCGAUUUGAAUCGGUGGCAACAAGGAUCAAGGUGCACGAGCUGAGGCAGAAGUCGAAGACCGACCUUCUGACCCAGCUAAAGGAACUCAAGGUCGAACUCGCCCUCCUUCGCGUCGCCAAGGUCACCGUGGUGCCCCGAACAAGCUCUCCAAGAUGUACGUCACUGUUCUUACUUGAUUUUCGUGAUUUCAAUGGUCUACAUUGGAGCUUUUUUAUGUUUUUGGUAGAUGGUAAUGUUGGGUUUGGGAUGACCAUGAGCUUUGGUUAUGGUGGUUAAAUUGGGUUUUCGCACAUAUUGAAUUUCUUGUUUGUGGAAGUCAGUCAGAGCAUGUUGUAUUUGUUGCUGUUUAUAUGAUGAAUGAUCAAUGUUUUGGUGAUGGGUACUUUUUGGCAAUGGGUGGCCGGAAGCAUGGGAUGGUUAUAUUUUAUAAGGCAUUGGAAAUUCUGAAAAACUCGAUUGGUUGAUGAAUCUUGAGUGGAUAAAUGCAAAGAGUUGGCUUUUUGCAAGUAACUUACUGAGAUUUCUUUGAAAGAUGACGUCGCCAAUCAGUUGCUGUGAUGUUAUGGUAGCUUACGAGUUGGCAACGCUCCUGCUUGUUCCGUGUGCUCCUCAGUGUCAACAUCCCUUCAACAUCCUACCCUGCAAACAAGCAAUGUCAUUUAUAGCCAUUGAUGUGUGAUAGAAUUAAGCUUAAACCCAUUGUCAUGCUUUAUGAAUUAUCCAUUUGCUCACGCCUAAACUUUUUGCCCAAGACCUGUCAUGGAUUGAAUUCGUCCAUAGCAAGGAAACCUGACCUCUAAACCAAAAUAUUAAUUUGCAUAGUCUUGCAUUCGCAUCUCUUACUUGUGUUUCUUUGCAAUUUGUUACUAAUGGCAUUUUAUCAUGUCUGCAUCGAAUAAAAGAUGGGUCUUAUACGAAUUGGCCCGAUAGACGUCCCAUCGUUCAAUUGGGCGGAUGAUCCUUCAUGCAAUGUGGCGCUUAUGCUUAGCGUGAAAUCUCUUAAAUAUUGCAGACUUUUAUUACAUCAUUAGCUGUGACUUUCUGUCUUUCUUUCAUUUUCCUGAAAUGUUAAUUGUGUAGCAAAAUAAUAGUCAUAUUUCCAUUGCUUUCUGCAUUGCCCGUGAAAAUUAGUCCUUUCGAAGACGACAAAACCUUUUUUGUUUAGACAAAAGCUAAACAUUACGUGGUCCAAUAUAUAUAUUUUUUAUCUUCUUAAUCUUCGUAAUACGCAUGAUUAGUAUUUUGGGAAUUGAAUAUUUUCUCAAUGAGCACGUUCAACAAAUGUCUGGACGGUAUUCGUAGAUAAGAUUUUCUUUUCUUCUUUUAUGGCAAGGUCAUUGAAGCCAUACAUGGUAGGUGGUGCUGGUGGUUAGGUGGAGGCUAGGCUGAAUUUGUGUCCAUUGAAUGCAGUGUUGACAGAAGUUUCCAGCAACACAAACAACCAUGUGUCUAUGAUAUACAUUUAUAUGUCCACGAAAUGCUCGAGAAAGACUUACAAGAAUACGUCGAUGACAUCUAAAAUCGAGAGUCAAUAAAUUCUCACGAAGGAAUUCAACAUUCUCACCAUAUGUUGCAAGACAUCUGUCAAAUGCAGCAUUAAACUAUAAAUCAAAGAUCUAAACAAAAAUCAAAUUCAGAUUAAUGUAUGCAGCAUAGGAAUUCAUAGAACCAAAAAGGGCGCAGAAGCAGACGUUUAGGUGAUUGAAUUAUCUAUCAUUCAGACAACUUGUUAGUUCUCAGUGAUCAAAUGUAUUCUCUAGGAAAACUUGGGAGGCAGUCCACGUCUCAGAGGCAUGGCAAAUAAGGUAAAAUAGUUUUUAUAAUAAAAAAUGUCUUGAAGGGUAAGAAAGAAAAAUUAUAUACAAGUGGAGGAGGGUCUUGUGAUUCCCAGCCAUAUGGCUAGGAGUCUUAGUGGUUAAUUGCAAUGAAGAGGAAGUGCAAUAUUAUCCUAGCAAAACUAGCGAGAAGAGGAUAACAAUAAAUUUGGUUCGUUCUUAAAAGUAGUGAAAACAAUUCGAGUGUUUGAGGAAGAUGAAUAUAAAAUCUCUCUCUCUUGAGUUUUCGAGGAAAUCUCCCUCCUCCUCCCUCCCUCCCUCCCCAUUAUUAUCAAUUAAAGUAGUGAAAACGAUUUGAUUGUUUGAGGAAGAUGAAUAUGAAAUCUCUCUCUCUCUCUCGAGUUUUUGAGGAAAUCUCCCUCCCUCCCUCCCUCCCCCCAUUAUUAUCAAUUAUGGUGAUGAUCAUACGAGGGUCCCAAUCGUUUUUUCUAGGACUUGGACUUUAUACCUUACGGUGGAUAGGGGAAAAUCAUGUCCAUUCAGUAGGGGGCACUUAAUCACUAGCUAUAAGGAUAGUGUCCAUCAUCAUCACUAACUUUUAAUACUAGAAAAAUAAUAUCUAAUUAGUUAUACUAAACCAAUAGAUUUUUAGACAUUUAGUUUGUAUAAUUUAAUGAGAGGGAGUCUUUCUUCUUUUUAAUGAGAGGGAGUCUUUCUUCUUUUCCAAAUAAAAGUUCAAAAGCUUUCGUUAAGUAGUAGUAGAGGUUUUAGAAGAUAUGACUAUUUGUCUCCAAAUAUAUAUAUAUAUAUAUAUAUAUAUAUAUAUAUAUUGUAAUUCAAAGUAUGAAAAGAACUUGAGAAACAUUGUUAAAGUCUCCAAUUUAAUUACAAAUAUCUUAUUAUGUAAUGAAUUCUAACAUUGCACAUUGAACUACGAAUAAAACUUAUAUGAUAAAAAAAAAUUGUUUCAACAAAUAGGUAUUCACAUCAUGUUGCAUAUUAUAUGUUAAGGGAAGUUAUGCAAUAGAACCUAAUAUUAUCUUCAUUCAGGUAUUGUACCCAACAAUCAACACCACUUGUCAUGGAUUGAGUAGAGGCGAAAUGGGCCUUUUUAACUUGGCAAUCGGGCAUCGUCAUAGGUAAAGUCACAAUCAAAAGCAAAAUGAAAGAAAGAGAAUAGGCAAUUGAAUCAUAAACUAAACUUAAUGAAUUGCUUCUUGGCCUUAGUUUUGACGAAAGACCCGACCAAGUGGACCCAAGAAGUGUUUAAUGCGGUGGCAUAAGAGCUAAAUUUGUCUCCAACUAUGUGGCCUUGUAAGUCUCCAAUAGGGGUUGCCGUGUGAUGAGCAUACGAAUUGCAAGCAAACGUGGGAAUGUAUUUUGAGAAAAUGCAAAAGUUUUUUGAACUAAAAGGGUUUUUUUGAAAUUGAAAUAGUAUUUGGUAGAGUGCUUUUUAAAAAUACAUUAAAAAGCAAUUUGAUGUAAAUGCCGUUCAUAGUUUAUAAAGGAUUCUUGGUAAAUUUCAAUGUUAUAAGAAACCUCAAAGCUAUGGCACACCAACCUAUGGCAAUUUGACCUUGGUGUUAAUAGAGGAGAGCCCGUGAUCUUUUUGCACGAUCCCAACUCCUUUAAUAUCAAGUUGAACUUCGCGUAGAAACAUGAAAUUGAAAGAGGAACUUAGGUAGGUGCAAUAGAUUAAUUCCUCUUUCCAUUUCUUUAGUACAUUUCGUACACGAGGUUUUGGGUCUUUUGAGAGGUCAUCAGCAAUAAAACAUAUGAAAAAAGAAGAAGAAGAUAUUAAUUAUGAUCAAUUUAACUUAUUUUGAUUUAUUUAUAUGAACGUCAAACCCCCCCUUACUAAAACACAUAGAUACUAAAAAAAAAAAAAAAAAAGCAAAUCAGCAGCGGGCCUCCCAAAAGCCCAGACACGGGCUUUGGCUUGCAGCAAAAGAUUCGUCUCCUUUCUUCUCCUCCUCUUCUCCAUCGGUUCACAGCAGCAACAGAGAAUCCCGAAGUUGGAUGUCCGGUGGUAUGGAGAGGCUUCAGAGAAUGUUCGCCGGCGCCGGAGGUGGUCUGGGCCACCCGCCCCCCGACUCCCCGACCCUCGAUUCAUCCGAGCAGGUCUACAUCUCCUCCCUCGCCCUCCUCAAGAUGCUCAAGCACGGUAUGGUUUCUGUUGCUCGAUUCCCAUUUUUUUUUUUUUUAGUGUCGUGGGUUUCUGUUGGCGCGGUUUAAUGGGUAAUUCCGGUUGCUUGCGGUUGUUCCAUUUUUAGUGUGUCUUUGCUUUUUCCCUAAAUUGGGACUUGGGAUUUGACCGACCAGGGAGGGCUGGGGUUCCCAUGGAAGUGAUGGGGUUGAUGCUUGGGGAGUUUGUGGACGAGUACACCGUCCGAGUCGUCGAUGUGUUUGCUAUGCCGCAGAGUGGUACCGGUGUCAGUGUCGAGGCGGUCGAUCAUGUGUUCCAGACCAACAUGCUCGACAUGCUCAAACAGACUGGAAGGUUUAAUUAUCCACCCACCCACCCACUUGGUCCCAUUUGCUUUUUCUUUCUAACUGGAUGGACAUUGGACACUUCUCAAUCUAUCUUUUUUGCUUAAUUGUAUCGGGGCCCUUUCAUCAAAGCUAUUAUGUGUUCUGCAUUGCAGACCAGAGAUGGUGGUAGGUUGGUACCACUCUCAUCCUGGCUUUGGAUGUUGGCUUUCUGGUGUGGACAUCAACACUCAGCAGGUCACCUCUUUUACCCUAUAUUUGAUUCUUAUAGGGAGCAUGUAAAUUGUAGUUACAAACUAAUGAAAUGAGCUAGAGUUUAGCUCUCAUCUGUGGUUGGAAGAGAUCUAUGAUUAGACUUGGUUUGGGCCUUACGUAGGUGGUCUGGUUUUUGAAUCCCAAUCCGGUUUAGUUUGGUAUCUGCCUGGGAACCGAGAACCCAACAACAUAGUACAGGUUCAAAAAAACUGGGACUGGGAACCGGACUGAAUUCCACCAGAACAUAGACCAAUCUUGUUCUUCAAUUCCUGAUUUUACUCUGGAAUCAUGCUCACCCCCAGUUGAAGGUUGUGGCUUUGGAAAUUAACUCAGAGAGUUGUACCUCAACAUAUUUUAAAUAUUUUCACUCUUGGUUGAUAAUCUAUGAUUAGUUUCUUUUGUCCUUUUUUUGCUAGACUAUAAUUGCUUAUAGGUUUCCAGUUUGAUCCAAUUUUUAACAAGGCUGCUUUUUACUUGUGCUGUGUUCUUAUAAAAUCAGAGUUUUGAGGCUUUAAAUCAGCGUGCGGUUGCAGUAGUGGUGGAUCCCAUCCAGAGUGUCAAAGGGAAGGUUGUGAUUGAUGCCUUCCGUUUGAUCAACCCGCAAACCAUGAUGCUUGGCCAAGAACCCAGGCAGACAACCUCCAACCUUGGACAUCUCAACAAACCGUCCAUCCAGGUGAGUUUUGACCAGAAAUAUUCUUUUUGAUUAUUGAGUUUUGAUCUUAUCUCAUGGGGUUGACUUCAUGUUUCUAGGCAUUGAUCCAUGGGCUGAACAGACACUAUUACUCAAUUGCCAUCAAUUACAGAAAGAAUGAACUUGAGGAAAAAAUGCUACUUAAUCUUCACAAGAAGAAAUGGACAGAUGGCUUGACGCUUCAUCGUUUUGACACACAUUCUAAAACCAAUGAACAGACUGUUCAGGUAAGUCAAGGUCUUAAUCUGUCGCAUAAAGAUUGGAGAAUUGGUUGCGCCAGUCACUUAGAGGUGGAUUCUAGACAAUGCAAGACAAGACCCUCUGCUUAAGCAUAUUUUCAUCUGAUGUCCAUUUUUUCCUAAUUAAUCAAGAUCAAUUAGCUUGCAAUGCAUAUAGAAUUCAUUGAACUGGAUGCUGAAAAGCUGUCAUUUCUUGCAAAACAAAGGAUUGUUUCCAAAUUCAGAUCCUUGUUUUAGGUGGAUCUUUUUUUUUUUUUUGGGUAGGAGUAAGAUUCAUGCUUUAUUAUCCAAAAGCUAAGGUCGUGCUUUAUGCUUUACAUCUAGGCUGAGAAGAAAGCAUCCAGGGGAAAAAAUAUAGUCGUUUGUUUUGUAAUAAGAUUGGUUACAUAGUCUGGUUCAUUCUUUGGUAUAUUCUCUUCCAAAAACUAUUAAUGAAAGUACACUGCAGAUACACCUCCCCCCUCCCUUCUCUUCUUUUUUUAUCUUAAACGGAUUGGCAAAGACCUAUUCAAUGAAAGGCAACAGGGCAACGAUUGAUUGGUGACAAUCUCUAGUCAAAGCUUUACAUGAUUCUUGGUGCAUACUCUGGACAGGUGUUACAGAUAUAUUAGGAACAUUUACGGCAAUGGACGGGGAUGACAUUGUGUGUGGUGGUGUAAUAAAUGCCUCAAGUCUGAAGACUUGAAUAUGGGUUUUCCUUGUAGGUCCAUUUAAGUAAGUGGAGGAUAUAUAUAAUUCACCCGUGGCAGGAUUAGGAAAGUGAGAGGAGGGUUGUUGGCCAGUGAGUAUAACCGGUGAUUGUUUGUAUCUUAUUAGAGUCCAAUAACGAGUAGUGGCUGGCCACAAUAUCCAUAUGGUAGGGCCAUAGGAAACCCAUAUUUUUCUGCAGUUCAUUAUGAAUAUCAUAUCAGUUGGUUGGUGGGCGGAUGUUUUUGAUUUCUAUUUAUGGCACAAUCAAAAUGAGUUGAUUUUUUUCCCCCUUCCAAUCUUGCAGGAGAUGCUGAAUUUGGCAAUCAAGUAUAACAAGGCAGUGCAGGAGGAGGAUGAAUUGCCACCAGAGAAGCUGGCGAUUGCGAAUGUGGGAAGGCAAGAUGCCAAGAAGCACCUCGAGGAGCACGUUUCCAACCUUAUGUCUUCCAACAUAGUUCAGACCUUAGGGACCAUGCUUGAUACCGUAGUCUUCUAAGGCCCUCCGAAUCGGGCAUCUUAUGUCACCUGCAUUCUGCACAACUCUGUAUCAUCUUUUGCGGCGGUGUUCCGGGACUAAUUAUUACAUUGGCUUGAUCAGUAGACGCUGCAGCUUGUAAGAAAUCUAGCCCUUUGUUCUCUGCCUUGCUUGUAUCCCCAUUCAAACAAUUCAGUUAUCAAUUUGUUCCUAUCCAAGAAAGGGAAAGGAAAGGAGACGGUUUAUCCGCGAGCCUCUGUGACAUGAUCUCUUAUACUAAAUAACGGGGCAGGUCUCCUGUCUCCGUUCAGUGGGGGACGAUGAAUGGAGUUGACAAAGAUGUAGCCACCGCAUCGCUCCGUGGGCGGACAUGAGACAAGAACUUGGGCAUGCAUCGUCAUUGCUUUACUUAGCAGCCACACGAGCCAAUCGUUGUGAAGAGUGCCUCCACAAUAUAAAGUGUUAAUGUUUUACAAUUCUAAUUAGAAGUAACACAGCGAUGAAAUCUUAAAGUAACUUAUACCGGAAAACACACUCAGCAUCUUUAGGUUGUUAUUGUACGGUACCUGAGUCGCAUAGCCAAGUGGUGCGACAUGUUGGCGCCGCCGCUGUCACCAGCAAGGAAGAGCCGAUCGAAGUUGGCAUGGUCCCUGAGCCACAGCUCGCACCGGGCUUCCUCCGAAGUGAUCCACUGCAGAGCAGCCCAGGAAUCAUCGUAGGCCGUGGGGAGGGCGUGCUCGGGACUCGACGAUAGUCAACGGAGAUGAGGACAAUGUUGCACUCGGCAACAAGGGCAUUGAGGCUGGAGUGAUAUUUGGGGUCAGCAAUGGAGGAGAUGAUGAAGGCCCCGCCGUGGAAGUAGAGGACGAGGGGGAGUUUUGUGGUGGCGGAUGCCAAGGAGGGGCGGUAGAUCCGGGCAGAGACGCCAGCGUCGGGGAGGAUGAGAAUGUCCUUGGAUUUGACUCCUGGCUCGGGGUCAAGGCCAGGUGGGGCGAUCUCGAAGCCGGCAAGGCGUUCGAAGGUGCCGUCCUUGUAGACUCUGAUGUAGGGGAAGAUCUCGAGCGAAACCUCCUUGGAUGAAUCCAUGAGAGAGAGAGAGAGAGAGAGAGAGAGAGAGAGAGAGAGAGGUCAACGAUAUUGAUCAGAGAUAGGUGAAGAUGAUGAAUUGAGAGACAAGAAACAGCGAUGGCUCGAACAGGGAAAGAAAAGCACUGGUAAGAAUUUAAAAAAUGAUUAUUGGGCAAGAAAUAUAGAAAAAAAAAAUGAGAUGUUGAGUUUGGACGGCAAAAUUUAUUGGCUCAAUAAGUUUAAACUAGGUGCGUGUAAAAUUUGAUGGAUUAAUUUUGGGGGUAAUAAAUCAAUAGUUCCCCAAUCCACCUUUGCCAAAACGCACUCCAAUUUCAGACCUAAAACUUAACCCAUUUUUGAAAAGUGAAACAAUCAAAAGGAGGGCAAAAAAAGGAAGAAUCUCCUGAGGUUAGGAGGAAUGAUGGGGAAAAAAUAUCCUCAUUUUCAUUGACUAAGGAUGUUUCUUUUGUCGAAUUGCCCUAGCGAUACAGCUUAAAGAGGGAUCCAGAGGGAAUAGUUGGAAAUAAUUUGAAGGUAAAUGAUGAUUUCUAAUAAAAUAAUUUACACAAGAAUUUUAAGACCACGACUACUUUUACCGACAAACUGUUAUAAGAAACUACAAACAAAAAGAUAAGUCCGCCAUAAUUAGAGGCGUCCCCCAACCUCUUCUCACAUUUCACCAUAACUAGAGGCAUCCCCCAACUUCUUUUCACCUAUGAAGGCUGAUGUGGUAAUUUUUAAAUAUUUUUUUUUGACUUUUUAAUUAAUUUUUUUUCUUGUCCUUUUCUUUUUCCUCUUGUUCUUGGCCUUCUUCUCACACAAUGCAAUGGCAAGUCAACGGCGAGCUAGCCUUCAUUGUGGCUGAAAAAUCAAAUUUCAGAAGUAAGUUUGAUUGUAAUUUUGGGCUGAGCUGAAUAGACAUUACUUUUAUUUUGGAGGGCUAUUUUGUAGGGUUGAUCCAAAAAAAGAAAAAAAAAGAAAAAGAAAAAGGCUGGGACUGAAAGAAUUCAGGGCAAGACGUGUUGCUUUUAAAGUUUAGAAAAUGUGAAUCUUUCCUUUCUUUGGUAAGUUAAACAAUUAUUAUGUACCAACUAUUUUCAGAAACAGUAAUCCACUUUUUGGCUCAUUUUGGGCCAUUUUCGAGUUUAUGCCGAGAUUUUUGUUGCUCAAUUCAAUAAUGUAGUCAAUUAGUUAAGUAAGCCAAUAGAGGAAAUAAUUGAAGAAUCCAAGCAAGGCAAGACUAAAUUUUUGGCCUGACCCAAAAUGAGCUAUAAGGUAGAAUCAGCGAAAAAGGACUGCCACUUCAGUCUUGGCCUUCAGGUUUUUAUUUGCACCUGUGUACAAAAUAAAUUCAUUAACUUGCCAUUCACAAUGUUGCUUUUUCGGUAAUGACUUCAUACACGAGAGUCAUAAUAAUGAAAAAGAAAAACAAAAUCGGACAUGUCCAUGACCGUGAGUUGAGAGAAUGCGACGUGGAGCUCCAUCUCCUGUCAAGAGUAGAUCACCUGGCUAAGAGGAAAAUUGGAAUGAUUAGAUAUCCUAUCGACACCCCCCCGGGGGGUUUGCUUUGGAUAUGAAAUGUGGUAGGUGUGUGUGGGAGAUUUGAGAAGACACCAUGGUUUGUAAAAGAAAAUAAUUCUACUUAUUUUUACCUCAAGUUAAAAUUAAAAUUGCUUUGGAUAUAUUGAUGUAUAAUAGAAAAUCUCGGGACAAACUCAAAAAUUUAAUAGCCAAAGUCCUAGAUAAUUGACCUCAAGUUUGCGAAAAAAGAAGUUUUAUUGGACAAAUAGGUUGAAUUAAAAAUAAUCACAAAAGACAAACUUCAUCAUAAAUAGUAAUGAGCACAUAAAUCUCUAGAUAAUUUAGCCUGAGUUUGAGAAAAAUGAGGAUUUAUUGGAAAGAUAGGGUUGAAUUAAACCUAGUCACAAAAAAAAACAUUUAUCAUAAAUAGUAAUGAACAUGUGUUCGUAUAAUAUUAUUGCAUCUAUCCACAGAAUCUUAGGACUUUGCUAGGAACUUUUUUAGGUUACUAAUGUCAAGAUUGUGGAUGUAUUACACCCUUAUACUAAUUAUGUAAGAAAACAUAUGUUUAGAAUUUUAUGCUUAAACAAUUUAUCUAUAAUUUAAUUCAAUAACUAUAUACAUGUGUAUAUAUGUCAACAACCAUAUAUCUUCAACCACAUAUUUAUGACGUUUCAAGUUUGUGUGGUGGUUGUUUAUUCAAGUUUUGCGUGAAGAUUAAAAAGAGUAUCCAAACAAAAGAAUUAACGUAAGGAUGAUUUACAAGCACCAUCCAUGUGAAAAAUGCCUCGGAUAAAAUUUGGGGGAAAAUAUGACUUUUAUGGAUUUAACAAGAGCUAAAAGGUUGUGACUAUUCAUGAAGAAACAAGCAAACUCAAAGUCUCUAAUCGGAUCAAAAAGAUAGAUUUGCAUAUUUUCACCCAUCGACAAGAAAAAAGAGAGAGUAAAUAUCUAGGAAAAAACUGAAAGGAUGCAAUCAUUUAGGACAAAUUGGUUCAAUAUCUUUCUCAAUAAGAAGUUUGUAUUUAGAUUGUAACCAUUUCAAAGAAAGAUUUAUAGGAUACCACAUUUGGAGGCAAUAUGGCUCCUUAUGUAGUCUCUGUGACUAAUCUUCAUAAUUGAACCUUCUCAAACUUGAAAUCUUUCAACUUCUUUUUCGCUUCCUCUUUUAUGUAGCGUAUGUGACCUAUCUUCAUAAUUACUAGUCAAUUUGGAAAAACAAAAAAGUAACUAUUUGCAUGAAAAAUAACUUUAUACAUUUUUCCAUGAGCCAAUCAUCAAGCACACAGAAGUAUCGACAAGAAAAAGAAGAAACCAAAUUUUAGUGAAAAAAAUUAACCUUUUUUUUAAUACCAUUCUUUCCUUCUGCCUCUUUUUCUUUGAAAGAGCUCUUUGAACUUUUAUCUCCACCUCACAAUAUAGCAGUAGAUAGCUGAAAUCUGUUGACAUUGAUAACGCAUCUCAAACAUCCUGAUCUUUUUCAUGAGAUACCAUGCUCAACUUGGACCUUGGGCACAAAUUUCCUUAACCAUGCCUCUAAAGUCUAUUCCUCUUGUCUAUAGAGUGAAAAACAAUUCCUCACAAUUCUAAAAAUAAGAUCAAAAUUAUGUUCCCCUAUUUUAAAAUGGGCAAGAAAUGAAGGCUCAUGUCGAAAAGGGCAAGCAUCAGCAUGCCCUUUCUAGCGUGAUAUAAAGAGGGAAAUCAAGAAAAUGGGAAUGGGGACAUGCUUUUUCUACUCCUCAUAAAACCAUUAUCUCAUAGCUACCAAGCUUGAAUUGAGAGUCACUUCAAGAAAAGACGAUAAUCAUCAAUUUUACAAAACAAAACAAUGAAAAUCAAAUCAACAAAAGACCAAUAUUGCACCUAACACCUCAAUUUCUUCCUCUAUAAAAUGACUAUCGAGCUCAUGCAGCUUCCAUCCUAAUUCUGAAUCAUCCCAUCGUUCCUCUUCCUUUUACUUCCAUUCCGGUUCCUCUCCAAAGAAGAGGAUGCUUUCUUCUUUCUUGUUUCAAAGCAAUUCCCCAAGCAACUCCAGUUUUUGUGGGCUUCAUUUCAGGAUGAGACACCACAUACCGAGAUACUUAUUAUUUUAUUAUUUUUAUAUUUUCGCACUGUGUUUUGGUGAAUAAAAAACUCACCGCUUCAAUUUAUCUUUUUGAAAUAUUAAUUACACUAAAAAAAAAAAGGCAGUGUAAAGUAUCUUGAGAUUGCAAAUAAUAAUCAUAAAAUGUUUCAUAAUUCAUUAGCCAUUGAGGAAAACCUCAACAAAAUUUAAUUCAUCUAACUUGCAUGUGAUUUUCAUCAAUUUGGCAAAGGAGCUUGUGCAUCUAUUUAUUCCCUCCAAAGACAUGUAUACAUAAAAUAAAAUAAUAAUAGAAAAACCUAGUCAGUGAUUAGACGUAUUGAUUAAGGAAAAUAUUUUCUUGAUCAAAACUAUUAAACUCCGGUCAUCUUUGGAUCAAAAUUAAUUUUUUCUUUUGGGGCCAGUAAAUCUUUAAUAUCUAUCAACUAUCUUUUUAACUAAAAAAAAAGAGAAAAGGAUAAUUUAAAUAGCUAUUUAGCUACUUGGCAAAUUUUAAGAAAACAUGGCCGUCAGAGUUCCUUUGCUUCUCUUCUCCUAAUGGGAACAGAAGACGGGCAAUUUUUUUUUUCCUUUUUAUGUAUAUUUCUCUAUUUUUGGCCUGCCCCACCACCUCUUUCCCUUGGUGGCCCAUCUGCCAUCUGGGUGUCUUUAUUAUUUGUUAUUUUCUUUUUGGGUCAUGUGGGUUUCUUGAUUAUGUGUUCAAGGUCCCUCCUCUCUCUCUACUCUCUUCUCUCUCCGUGGAAUUUUAAAUUUGUUACCGUUGUUUCCAGUCUCUCAUCUGCAUCGGGAUGUCUUUUUUACUCGAAACCCUACAUUUUACUUUAGGAAAAACAUGGAGAAAUUUUUUUCAUUGUUUAAAAAGUGAGAGUGUAUCAUAUGUGUGAAAGUAUAGUAUUUUAAGAUUAGAUAUGGUGCAAAUUGCAAUUCUGAAUAAGUAAAGAUGGUUAGGUUUUUUGCAAUGUUUCUAUAAAAUGUUUUGGAAAUAUCCAUAUAAUAAUUUGGACUUUGGUGGAUACGAUUAGAUUUGUCCGACUAUCCUUAAUCUUGUCGACUUUUAUUUCUAUUUGCCUCUUCAAACGAAGGGGAUCCCAUUGACAAAUACUUUGUGAAUCGUUUGCCCAUACACUUGCAUUUACGAAAAAGAGUGAAGAUAAAAUUCAAAGAAAAACUGAUUUUUUUUUAUGAGUCUUCAAAUUCCCUAUCUCAUUAAGCUGCCAAACAAGCCGAAAGAAAGAAAUUGCCAUCCCAUUUUUGCACCAUUUUCCGGUCCAUUGUUAAAUACAUGGGCAUAUAUUUGCUAAUGCGACUAAUUAAGGAGAUAUUAUAAUUUUCAGUGCGGGUAUAUUUUCGAGAGCGUUGAGCGUCACAUGGUAAGGGUGUGCAUGAAAAAAUUUCUGAAACAAAAAUUGAUUUCUCAAUUUCUAUUUCAGAAAUUAAGAAGUUAAAAAUUUUAGCUUCUGAUUUAUUCUUCAAAUCUAUUUCUGGAAUAAAGAUCUAUUCUAGAAAUAGAAAAAUCAAAUUGUGUUACCAAACAAAUUGAUGUUCCAAACUUGUUUUGGGAAACAGAGAAAUAGAGAAAUAGAAAAGUAGAAAUUUUAUCAUGCGCACCCCAAAUAAGUAGAACAAAGCUAAUCACUUCCUUUCUUGUUUAGUAAUUGAGCCAUAAACUCUCCAUGAACUCUUCUAACGGUGGAGACCAUAGAGUUUGGACAUCCUUCAAAGGACAAUUCUAGGUAUAUGGCGAUGAAUGCCUCAGAACUCACAUAAUUUUAACCAAAAAAUGAUAGCACCUAUUUCCACCAUAUAAAUUACUUUAUAAAUUGCUUUAGACACACCAUAUAAUUUAAAUUUAAAUAGUUCAAAAUAGCCAUCUUCAGGCCCCAUUAAUGGUAAGACAGAUAGGAAAGAGGAAAAGCAUACAUCUAACCAGGGUCUAUGCACUUUCAUUAAUAAUUGUUUCUUCUUUCCAAUUAUCUUUUCUUUUUUUUUUACAAGAGUCCCAUGAAAUUUGAGUAUUUUCACGAGUUUAGUGGCUUGGAAUACGAGACUACUAACAAAGUUAUGAUGUGUUAAACAAUUAUAUACAAUCUCUCUAUAAAUAUUAAUUUCUAAUAAGUUCAAAUUCUUUUCUAAGCAGAAAUCUUUGGUUAAAAUUGUGAACUUUUUAUGAUUAUAACUUAGGUUUGGGACGUCCGAUUAAUAAAGAUUACCAACAAGAUUCAAAUUCAUCGGUUGCCCACUUUUGAACCCAUAUUUAGCAUCCUAGAAAGAAAUUUUCCCUUUUCUCUUUUUGAGACUUAUACUUAGAUGAUUUUCAUAUCGGCUUCCAUAGUGCCAUUUUCUCUCCCAUAAGUGCUUUACAUAAAUACUAAAUGGCAAAUUUAGAUGGAAAGGAAACCUUGGAAGGACAAGGCUAUUGACAACUUAUGGAAACUAGUGCUUUUAGUUGCAUGGCAUUCUCAUGAGAGGUAUCAAUGACAACAAUACCAUAAUUUUGUUUUUUCCCUUUUCCUUUUUGGUUAGAACCAAUAUGUCUUCACGUAAAAUAUUGAAAUAACACCGUCCAAUAAUACUUUAUUCUCUUCAUUCAAACGGAUGAGAGACAAAAAAAUCAUACAAAAUCCAAAGCUUGGGAUAGUCCGCAGCUUCUUGGACCUUGGGGUCAUUGUUAUUUAGACCGGAUGAUUGAAAGAAAUGUCAUAGGAAUCAAUCAUGCAGGGCAAUGGAGCACUCCUUCAAUUGCUGCUUUAAUAGUAUCUUCAAUAGAUGUGCCCCACUUUCUGUUUAUUGUCGUAAUCCGUAACAACAUGUAAGAAUAGACCACUUGGAUCUAGGAGUAGGACCAUCCUCUUCUAGGAAAUCAGGAAGCUUUAAGUUCAACAUCAGAAAAUGACCGAAAGGGCCUUGACAUCCUUCUCAAGUAUUUAUUUUUAGUCAUUAUUAUUCUGUUUAAUACAAUUCCCACUUUCUUGCAUUCAAUUUCCACAUCUAUUCCUCAAUAGGUGCAUGGGGCUAGGAUAUAGCUAGGUACCUAUUAUUCGUGAUUCUAUAGAAAAAUACUAUUAAAAUCGGAAACCGCGCUGAUCUCUAGUUGGAAUAUACACAUAAUACGCACGAUACUGGCAUGGCACAUGUACGAUGCUAGCACGACAUGUGCAUAACACACUUAGGAGUCCAACACCUAUUAGAAAAAGUAGGAAAAGGGAACCCACCGUGCUGUAGGAAUUAUGCCUACUCCUAUGCGAUUGCAGCAUUUAUAGUUUGCAUCGUGCUAGGUUUUGGUUAGUCCCUCUCUUCCUCUCUCAAGCUCUCUAGCAUUGUAACCAAUAUUUCCAAGCAUUCCAUCAAGUUUUUCCAUAAAAACUAAUCAAUUCCUUGUAAAUCGAUGAUGUUUGUGACAGCCUGAAUUUUCAGAUUUGUUUUCGAUUAAAUAAAUCGGGCUUUUCGUCGACGCGUCUAUAGUGCUAUUCUCUGAGUUGGCCACUCACGAGAUAACUGGUCUAUCUGGGAAAGCAAUUAAGGAAUCUAAAUGCAAUGGACUUGAGAAUUCGACCAGGAAUCGACUACUCGACCGUGUCCAUCUGCCGAGAUCAUUACGGCACUGUCGAAAUCGAUUAGAGAUCGGAGAUAGGUCAAUUCGAUUGAGAUAUGUGAUCAGAGUGUGGGUGAUUCCACCUGAUUUCAAAAUACUCAUCGAUCGGCACUAGACCGAUUUUUCUAUCGUUUUGGUACCCGGUGCCUGUAUUUGAUUCCUCGAGAUUUUCACGACAAUUGAGAGUCGCUAAUGUGUCGAAGAUGUACUUUGUGACUCGAGAUAAAUCGAUCACGGGUCAAUUGUACCAAAAAUUCCUAAAAGUGACCCGGUAGACUAGGUCACGCUAAAAGCGCGCCAGAUUGAAAUUAAUCGUGAAUUUGAAUCCGAUUUCAGAAAUUGAAAGUUCUGUGGUGUCACGACCUAUUUUAGGAACGUCGACUCAUCCUCCGAAGAUUUUUCAGAGAUUCCGAGAUUUUUACGGAAAUCCGAUUCGGACGUCGUGGAAAAUAAAUGGAAAUUCGUACGGGCCGAAUUUAAGCGAGUUUUAACUUCCAAGCCGAGCUAUAGGGUAUUGGGGACUUAUAGAAUAUUAUAUGGGUUUUUCUUCAUCAACAUUGGAUAUGAAAUUUGAGGAAUUUGUCAAAGAGAUUGAAGCUAUGUGAGUAAAAUUCGGAGUUAAGGAGGAGGGCUGGAUUUUAGCCUCAAAAUUGGGUUUAAUUGGUGGAUUUUAGACUAGAAAGUAUUGAGGAAAUAUAAGAUAAGGUUUGAGGCAAGAGGGAGGACCAAGCAUUAAUUGUUGAAGAUAUUUUGCUUGGAUUUUUGCUCAUCUUCCUUCGCACGUCAUCUUCACCGGUUCUUUCCCCUUUGCCGUCUCCUUUUAAAACGGAUUGAAGCCGACUCCCCUUCCUAAAGAACGAACCGCCUCUGCCUUCUUUCAUCUUAGUCUUCCUCGUUGCACCUUCGCCAAACCAACACCAAUUCUCAGCCACCAAUCCACUUUCGAGCUGCCUCUACUGUUUUUCCAUUCGUUCCUUCGAAGAUUGAAGCUGUUGUAUCCCCACCAACGUCCACGAAGCAGCUCCUCUCGUCCGCAUCUUCACCAGUCCACGCGUCUUCAGCUUCUUCGGUCAGAACCCCCAGCGAAGGACCACCGCUGUUGACUCCAAACCCACCGAAGAAAUCCCCAUGCGUCCGCCGAAGAUCAGCGAAGCCAGCUCGCCUUCUCCUCCGUUCCCCUUUGCCACGCUAGCCCACGUGUCUUCCAGCUACCAGAGUUGGUCAACCAACUGACUUCAACGUUGUGGAUUUCGGCCAGCUCAAAGACCAAGCGAAGCUGCUACCGCGCGUCUUCUGGUUGUCUGCCCACCGUCCGCGAGCAGCUCAGCAUCUUCGGUCUCCUCUGCCAACGAAUCCAGCCGCGUGAAGUCCAAGCGAAGCAGCUGCUCCUUCGCCGUUGAUCUUCACCGAGUCAGGCCCAACAUCACCGUAGCUCAGCCCACAUCAACGGCCCAGCAAGUUGCCAUUCUUCUGCAGCCCAUCUUCACGCAAGUCUGGCCCACAAGAAUCAGCCCAGCAGAAUUCAGUCUUUGAAGUUCAGGCCCAAGUUCAAUUGGUUUUAGCAGCCCAUUUUGGGCCCAAGAAGAAGGCCCAAGCCUGCGACCAGCAGCUUGUAGAAGCCCAAGACCUAAACUCAGCCUUGCUGAGUUGUGUUGGGCCCGUUUUAGGCCCGGUCCGAGAGUUCGCCGACACCGCCGAAAAUUAAGAUUUCGGCCGUCGUCGCGUCGUCAUCGCGGUGAACCGGUUUUCGCGAUACACCGGUGAGUUUAUACUCUAAACUCUGCUUAGUAGGUUAAUGACGUUUAAGGGGUGUUAGAUUUAUUUUAUUAGGAAUUAGGUGGUUAGUUAGAUUAAAUUAGAAAUGUAAUUAUUUAAUUGAGCAUGUUAGGUGGUUAGCAUGGUUUAGUUAAGGCCUAAACAAAUUGUACUAUUUAUCUAGAAGGGUUCGGGAAUUUCUCCGAGUCCAUAUUGGUUAUUAAUUCAAUGAUUUUGGCCUAGGUUAUUAUUUGUAGAAUUUAAAUUGAUUUAUUUAAUUGAUUUCAGUAAUUAUU